This 82321-nucleotide long non-coding RNA is filed under the name Ananas comosus (pineapple). Its description in RNAcentral is "long non-coding RNA (ACOM_LNC027737)". Lineage: Eukaryota; Viridiplantae; Streptophyta; Magnoliopsida; Poales; Bromeliaceae. The record is from RNAcentral.
UAUAUCACCACUUUUUAUAGGAUUUUUAUUUUCAGCCGUUAAAAAUUAUUGAUUUUGAAUCCUUUCGAUUGCUAGGUAAAUGAUAUCGAAAAAUCACAAAAAUUAUCUUCUAGAAAUUUAAAUACGUUAGAUCAAACUUAACGGAGCCGAUCGUCGAUUCGAAAACUCCAUCAUCGAAAAUGGCUCAGGACACGGUGCUCCUGAGAGCACAGCAGCCCUGCUAUAUAUAUAUAUAUAUAUAUAAUUAUAUAUAUAUAUAUAUAUAUAUAUAUAUAUAUAUAUAUAUUAUAGUUGGCUAGAAUACUAUUGGUAGUAAACGAGCCGUUUUACUAUCGAUUUGUUUUCAAUGAUAGAACGUCCAAAUUGACGAUCGGCUCCGUUGAACAUAAUCUAUACCACUUAAUGUGUUUAGAAAUCAAAUUUCAAAUCUUUUCGACAUCAUUUGCCUAAUGAUCAAAGGGUUUCAAAAUUUGUAAUUUUAAUGGUCGAUAAGAGCGUUUUAUCAUUUAAUGGCAUAAAGAUAUUCAAAUCAAUGUGAAUUUUGUUAGAAAAUUUUUUAAACUAGUUGAGUGUACGUACAAAUGCACGUAACAAUUAUUUUAAUUUAUUUUAAAUUAAUAAAAAUUGUAAUCAUAUUGAGUUAAGAAUUUAGAAUAAAAUAUUUUGUAAAUUUUAUAUGUUAUGUAUUUUAUUAGAAAAUAUCUACAAUAUAUUCUUGGAUAAGCAUAAUUUUUUUCUAUUUUAGAGAUAAAAAAAAUAAACAAAUUUCUAAUUAAAAUAUAGAUUCAUAGUAGAUACUUUUCGGUUGGCAAAAAUUUGGAUAAGUAUAUUUUUUUACUAUUUUAAAAUACAUGAUUUUAUUUUAUAUGUAGUAUAGAUAGUGUAGAUAUUAUAUUAUAGAUAGAGAUAAAAAAAAUUAAACAAAUUUUGAAUUAAAAUAUAGAUUUAUAGUAGAUAAUUUUUGGUUGGUAAAAAUUUAGAUAAGCAUAAUUUUUUUUAUCUCUAUCUAUAAUAUAAUAUCUACACUAUCUAUACUACAUAUAAAAUAAAAUUGAUUCCUCUUUUGGUUGGUAAAAAUUUAGAUAAGCAUAAUUUUUUUUUUCUGUUGUAGGCAAAAAUUUAGAUAAGCAUAAAUAUUUUUCUGUUGUAGAAAUAAAGAGGAAUUAAAAGUUUGUUCAAUUCUGUUAUUUUUUUUACGUAACAAAAGAGGAAUCAAUUUUUUUUUCAAUCCCCGCCAAAAAAUGGGUCUGUCGACAAACUAAAAUUUGAAAUACGUGCAUAUAUAUAUAUAUAUAUAUAUAUAUAUAUAUAUAGAGAGAGAGAGAGAGAGAGAGAGAGAGAGAGAGAGAGAGAGAGAGAGCGCACUAGGCUCCUAUGUUUUCGAAAGUAUGGAGACAUCCGUACUUGUAAGUUGUUUUCGAUGAUAGGACAUUCGAUUUGACGAUCGGUUCCGUUAGACAUGAUUCUACACUAUUUGAACUAUCUAGAAAUCAAAUUUUAUAAUUUUUUGACUUUGUUUGCCUAGUGAACAAAUAGCCUCGAAAUAAACGGUUGAAAAUAAAAAUCUCAUAAGAAAUAAUGAUAAAGGACUCAAAUUUCAAAUCGAAAGUAUUGUUCUUAUUUUUGAUGUCAAGUAGAAUUUUCUAUUAAAUUUUUAUGUAAUUUAUAUACUUCUACACCGUUGAAGUUAAAAACGUGUCACAUCGGCCGUUAAAAUAGUCAUUUUUGAGACCCUGUGAUUGCUGGGUAAAUAAUGUCGAAAAAUUAUGAAAUUUGGUUUAUAAAUAGUUCCAAUAACGUAGAUUAUACCUUAUGGAGCCGAUCGUCAAAUCGGAUAACAUAUCAUCGAAAAUAACUUAUAAGCACGGAAGCCUUCGUACUUUCGAAAGUACGGAAGACGUACUACAUAUAGAAUGAAUAACGCAGCGGGUAGCGUGCCUACCCAUGCAACAAAUAAAACUCUCAAACUUCGGUACUAAGACCAUGGCAUGGAUUCAAUCCCUUUCGGUGAAUUUGUAUACUUUUUUUAACUAUUUUGAGUAUUUGAAAGUAACUGGGCGAUGCAUUCACGCAGACGCAUUAAAUGUAGAUAGAGUCGUCAAAUGGCUAACCAACAUAUCUCAAAACAUGCGCGAAGGGAAUGGACAUAAAGAUUCAACGCGCACGCGUCAUGUAGCUUCGAUCUGAAUAUCCAUCUGAAUGUUAAAAUUAUUGCUGGAUCUCUUGUCAUUAGAUCUCUUACAUAUUUUUAUUGUGGAUUAAUUGCACUUUUCACUCAACUUAUCGGACUGGCCAACUCAUUUAUACGACCAGUUACAAUAAAAAAAGCAAUCAUCGACAGGGCGAGUUGAGGCGGCUGUGAGAGUGAAAAUGAUACAAGAAGUUAGACAAGGCUUGACACGAUGGGCGUGCAUAUGGAAAGACCAACGUGUAGGUAAUAUAGCGGCUAAUAAUUGACUGUGAGAAGAAAAAUAAUUGGUAGGCUGGGAUCAAUAGUGCAGUUAACUUAUAAUCCUAAAUUAAACAUGUAUACAUUAAAACACUGACUCAAAAUAGCUAAACAAGCUUUCUUUCAUCUUCACGCAUAUAUAUAUUUUAUAUAUAUAUAGAGCAGGGCUGCUGUGCUCUCAGGAGCACGGAGGCCUCCGUGCUCCUGUAGCCGUUUAAUAAUGGAUUUUCGAAUCGACGACGGCUCCGUUAGACUUGAUCUAGCGCCAUUUGAAGUUUCUGAGAAAUAAUUUUGCGGAUUUUUCGUAUCAUUUUACCUAGUGAGUCGAAGAUUAAAUCUUAAUUUUUUAAUGGUUGAAUAUCUGCCGUUUUCAAGUUUAACGUGUAGAAUAUUCAAAUCAGAUGAAAUUUUGAUAGAAAAUUCUUUAUACUAGCUACAACAAGAUGCUAUAUUUCUGAUCGAUAAAUUUUAAGUGGCUAUAUCACCACUUUUUAUAGAAUUUUUAUUAUUCAGCCGUUAACAUUUAUUGGUUGAAUCCUUUCGAUUGCUAGGUAAUGAUAUCGAAAAUCGCAAAUAUUUCUAGAAACUUUAAAUACGCUAGAUUAAGUUUAACGGAGCCGAUCGUCGAUUCGAAAACUCCAUCAUCGAAAACCGGCUUAGGAGCACGGAGCCUCCGUGCUCCUAAGAGCACAAGAGCCCUGCUAUAUAUAUAUAUAUAUAUAUUAGAAUUAUGCUACUUAUCUAUCAAUAGUACCAAGCCUUGGUACUAUUGAGUUUUUGGUCGUGAAUGAAAGAAUGUGCGGUUAGGAUGAUAGUGGUCCCGUUAAAUUGAUAGUAGUCUCCUAGGUUGAGUGGGUGGUUGGUUAAAGUAUUAUCUUACGUGGAAAUGAUCAAAGGUGUAUUCUAACGGUAGAAACUCAAUAGUAUCAAGGGCUUGGUAUGUCAAUAGUAUACUAGCCCGGCACUGUAUAUAUAUAUAUAUAUAUAUAGCAGGCUGCUGUGCUCUAGGAGCACGGAGGCCUCCGUGCUCCUUGAGCUGUUUUCGAUGAUGGAAUUUUCGAAUCGACGAUCGCUCCGUUAGACUUGAUCUAGCGCAUUGAAAUUUCUGAAAAAUAAUUUGCGAUUUUUCGAUAAUUUACCUAGCGAUCGAAAGGAUUCAAAAUCUAUAAUUUUUAAUGGUUGAUAUCUGCCGUUUUCAAGUUUAAACGGAUGGUAAAAAGUAUUUAAAUCAGAUGAAAUUUGAUAGAAUUUUUAUACUAUCUACACAAGAUCUAUAUUUCUGAUCGAAAAUUUUAGUGCCUAUAUCACCACUUUUUAUAGGAUUUUUAUUUUCAGCCGUUAAAAAUUAUUGAUUUUGAAUCCUUUCGAUUGCUGGUAAAUGAUAUCGAAAAAUCACAAAAAUUAUCUUCUAGAAACUUUAAAUACGUUAGAUCAACUACUAACGGAGCGAUGGUCGAUUCGAAACAGUCGAUCAUCGAAAAUGGCUCAGGAGCACGGUGCUCCUGAGAGAACAGCAGCCCUGCACUAUAUAUAUUAUAUUACUUAUAUAUAUAUAUAUAUAUAUAUAUAUAUAUAUAUUAAUAUAUAUAUUAGUUGUGCUAGAAUACUAUUGGUAGUAAAGAGCCGUUUUACUAUCGAUUUGUUUUCAAUGAAUAGAACGUCAAAUUGACGAUCGGCUCCGGUGAACAUAAUACUAUACCACUUAAGUGUUUAGAAAUCAAAUUUUCAACUUUUCGACAUCAUUUGCCUAAUGACAAAGAGGUUUAAAAUUUGUAAUUUUAAUGGUCGAUAAGAGGCGUUUUAUCAUUUAAUGCAUAAGAUAUUCAAAUCAAUUGAUAUUUUUGUUAGAAAAUUUUUUAAACUAGUUGAGUGUACGUACAAAUGCAAGUAACAAUUAUUUUAAUUUAUUUUAAAUUAAUAAAAAAUUGUAAAUCAUAUUGAGUUAAGAAUUAGAAUAAAAUUUUUGUAAUUAUAUGUUAGAAAUAAACAUAGCUAGAAAUGUGAAUAAACUAGGAUUCAAACUUGGGUCUCGGAUACCAACCACCAAGCCCUUUGCCACUUGAAUUUAUAAAAGGGCAAGAGUAAUAAAAAUCUCAUAAAACAUGAUGAUGGAAGAUUUGAAUUUAAAAUCAGAGGUACUGAUCUUACUCUAAAUAGUAAAAAGAAUUUUCUAUAAAAAUUUCAUCUGAUUUGGAUUAUUUUACACCGUUAAAUUUACAAAUGCAUCACAUCUACCAUUAAAAUUAUCAAUUUUGAGACCUUUUGAUCACUAGCGAAAUGAUGUCAAAAAAUUAUGAAAUUUAGUUUUCAAAUAUUUUUAAUAUUGUAGAUCAAGUUUAACGGAGCCGAUUGUCGAUUUGGAAGCGGCAUCAUUAAAAACAACUUGGGACUUUCGAAUCGAUGAUCAGCUCCGUUAGACUUGAUUUAGAGUAUUUUAAGUAUCCAGAAAAUAAAUUUUGUGAUUUUUUUAUAUCAUUUGCCUAGUGAUCGAAGUGACUCAAAAUUAACGGCUAAAAAUAAAAAUCUCACAAAAUAUGAUGACAUGACAUUAAAAUUUUAGAUCAACAUAUUAAUUUUAUUUUAUAUAGUGUAAAGAAUUUUAUAUCAAAAUUUCACGUGAUUUGGAUAUUUCUACACCGUUAAACUUGCAAACGGCUCACCACGGCCAUUAAAAUUAUUGAUUUUGAGCCNAUGGGACGAGAAAAGUGAAGAGGAGCAGAGGCGGCAGUGACGACAGUGACAGCAGAGUUGAAGAGAAAAGAGAAGUGCUGUGAGAGAUGGAGAGAAGAAAGGUGGAAGAAGAGAGAGGUAAAAAACUGGGGAUGAAAAAGAAAUUUUUUUUUUCCUCAUUGAUGUAGAACAACUCGAGCUUUUGAGCUGUUCUAGCAUUUAAGGAGAACAACCUGUUCUGGGAUAACUCUGUUUGAUCGGGAUAUCACAUACCCAUCAUUUUUUUUAGGAACAAAUUGGUGGAUAUCCCCCUUGUUUUGGAAAAAUCACCAACCAAAUAGUGCCUUAAAAAAAACGCUUUAACCUCCUUAAAACUUAAUAAUCUUUAUAGUUAACCACUUUCGUUAUUAUAUUGAUUCCAUUAGAAAUUUAUUUUAAUAUCGUACUUGCCUUUCUGCUAGCUCCAAUUUCUCUCCUUUUUUGUCCUUUUUCUCAUGUAUUUUUCGCUUCAAAUUAAUAUGAUAGAUGCGAAAAAAUUAUAUUAAGAGGUUCUAAACCUUCUUUGUCAAUGUGACACCUCUUAAUAUUUAUAGGUAGUACUCGAGUUAUUUCAAUCAAUUAAAUUGAAGGCUUAAUUAAAUUAAUUAUUGAUUCUAUUGAAUUUUAUAUUGAGCAUUCUGGUACUUGCUCUAAUACUAGUUGUUGAGAAUUCACAACCCACUCUGAUACCGAUUGCUGUAAAUCUGGCACUUGUUAUGGUACUGAUUGUUUGCAUUACGCGAAAAAAGCGUCCAAUUGAAUUUUUACCAUAAACCUAUCUUCUUAGCGAAAAUUGAUACAAACACAAAAAAGAGAAAAAUCAAAUAGAAAGUAUAGAUGAAAUAAAUUUCACUAACUAAGAAAAAAAUUACACCUGACUCCUCUUUUACAUAGAAUAGUUUCAACCCAAGCCCUUUUUCUGAAUCUCCCUCCUCUCAAUCUUGAUUCUAUGAAUUCUAAAGACUACUCUCUCUUUUUCUAAAUCAAUGAACAAGAUAUACCGAUGAUCCACAGCCACAAAAGUCGCACACGUCCGCUUACACCCAUGCACCAAAUGCACCUAAAACCCUGAACACUUUGGGCUGUACACGACAUGGCUUUCGACUAAGACGUAUGGCCCAUCAAGAGCACCCACAACAUGGCCAUAAUUGUGCUUAUAUAAUGCACACUCAAAACAUACCCAAUCCUAGUACAAUUAUUGUCAUGCCCCGAAUUACUCGUUUCCCCGGGCACGCUAACAGACCCGCCGUAUGCAUAGAAAUUUUUUUUGUAUACGAAGCGAUAAAUGUACCUGUACUUAUAAUAAUAUAAUACUACAACCAGUAGUAUAGAGCUACUAGAAAGAAAUACAUAUAUAAACAACAUCGGUCCCAAUACAUACAUAGUAUCCUGAUACAAAAUCACUCGCUCCAGCGAGGAACAAAUAUCAGUAUAUACAAGAACAAAAAACUAGCACUAUGUUGAAGCAUAAAAAAAAAAAAUAAAAUAAAAUAAAAUAAAAGAGAAAGAAAAAAAGAGAAAGAGAGAUGGUAUAUGAGAUGAUCCAUGCACUAGGUGCAUGGAUAAAAUUUAAGUUCAAAUUUUGAACCUGAUGCAUAGGUUAAUCCAUGCACCAGGUGCACAGAUAUCAAAAGUGGGAUGUUCUCGUAGGCAUGAAUGGAUGUUGCAAAAAGCAAGUUAGUCCUUUCCCUUUCAUAUAUUUGCAAGAUGCUCCUUCAAACAUAUAAUAUUCUGUUAUUUUAACUAAAAUAUAAUAUAAACAAAAGGGAAGGACUAAUAUACAAUUUAAUACCCAUGACCUCACGAUCCCAUCGUAACUUCCAACCUCUCCCACAAAUCCCACCAUACGCACGAUCCCAAACAGUUACGACUGAUCCCAUAAAUAUCUCCCGAUGAGAAAGAGAGAGGGAGACAAGUUGUUUUUGAAUUCUCUCAAACCCAUUCCAAAACCCAAUCCCAUUCCUGUGUCUACGAAAGAGAAAAGAAAGGUAAAAAAAAAAAGGGAUAAUUGCCUAUAUACCCUUCAUGCGUUCGGAAAUAUCCGAUCUACCCCUACUUUUUUUUUCUUUCUAAAAUGUCCCUCAUACGUUCCACCGUUAUUCCAAAAUACCCCCGCAGUUAUCCCCUGUUAGCUUAACUCGGGUUAAACAUGGGUUAAAUCUAUACUAGAGUUAAAACCUGAACAAAAUACCUAUUUUGCCCCUACUUUAUUAUAGUAAUCCCUAAGAUUAUCCUCUCUUUCUUCCCCAAUUUUGUCGCCACCACCGGCCGACUCCUCCGCCACCACCGGCCGGCUCCUCCGCCUCUACCUCACCUCCUCGCCUCUUCUCCUCCCAGACCGCCACACCGUCCCCCCACUUCCAACAUCCACCAUUGUCUUGAUUUGUUUUCGUCUUCCUGGCCGCCGGCUUCAUCGUGGUCUCGGCGUUCCUCUUCUCCGCGCCUUGGCCAUGGCCGUAGGGAGAUCGCGGGAGAAGAGCGGGGCCGCGGCGACGAUCCAUCUUCUCGCCUUCGUCGUCCUUCUCCUCAUCCGUGCCUUGGCCGGCGCCUAGGAGUAAGAGGGGCGCGCAUCGGACCCUGCACGCCUUAUGCUUCCAGAUCGCCUGAAAACUAAGGGUAAAUAAGAACGUAUUUGCAGUAUAUGAAGACUGGUAUAUUAAGAGUUUGUAUCGGUACAAGAGGUUAUAUGGUUAUUUAUCCUAUGUCGGCUAUGGGUAUUAUGUUCAGAGCUAACGGCAGCUCACUAACGAUACUUAAUCUAGGUCGGUAUUUUUAGAAAACUUGGAAAUAGAAGGAUCGAUUUUCAUAAUUAGCCUUUCUAUAGAGGGGAUCGUAAAUAAGGAAACGGGGAACUUUCAGGGGUAUUAGGCAAUUGUUGCCCCAAAAAAAGAAUGAUUGACUUUUUCUUUUCCCCGACUGAAUGGCGCAUAUCAUAAGCUCACCUUCUUCGUUAAAAAAAAAAAGAAAAACAAAGAAGAAAAAAAAGAAAAAAAAAGAGACAAAAUAGAGAAAAAAAGAUCUUCAGGAUCUCUUUCUCUCUCUCUCUCUCUUUCUCUCUUCUCUCUGCUCCCGUCGAAACCCUUUGCCGAACCAUGGCGAUCGUGCCCAAUUCCUCCUGCUGAUCCUCACAUAAGGACCGAGACACCUAUACGACGAGCUCACUGAAGUCGCCCUUGCGAAGAUAGAGAAGCGACAGAUGAGGCCUACGGCCGGCCGGCACCGGUGGGGACGACGACGCGACGACGAGCGACGGAGUGCGCUGCGGCGGCGGUCCGCGGCUCACGAGGCGGGACGAGAGUGCGUGGGCGCUCUCUGCGACUCUCCGGCGCGAACGGCGCUCUUCGCGUGGCCGAGCGCGCGGGAAUACGCAUGUGAAUGUACCGUGGCGCGAUGUGGCCUCCGUGCAACGGUGCGGCGCGCGUGUUCGAGGAGGGCACGCUUCGAGAGACCCAGAGGUCAUCGCAAGCUCUUUUUGGUGGCCGCGGCGUCGUCCAGAAGGCCUCAGCAGGCUUCCGAGUCGACGCGUAGCAAAAGAUGGUUCGACGCCGAAGCCGGAAUCGUGAGCGUGAGGUGGGACGUGAAAUCGAACCCCGAGCGAUACCGCUCUGAGGCCGCCCUGCGUCGCGUCGCAAGACGCCUUGACCCGGCGGGGUGCGCUCCAAGUCGGCUCAUCGGGCCACUCCUCGCAACCCAUGCUCCAAUCCUGAGGUGCAGCUUCCGGACCGCUCCGGGACUGCUGACCGGGCCGCUCCGAGAGCGCGUGAUCGCUCCUCGCCACACCAUGACCACCUGCGUUGACUUCGAGAACACCCGGAGGCCCGACGCGAGGCCGCUUUCUCGACAGAUCUCCGCGGCGCAAUGGCCGGCGGACUCGCCUCAAACUCCUCCGCAAGAUGGCCAUGUACUCCGACAAUCACCGCAACUGCUCGUCGGCUCCUCCUCGAACUCGAAGCCGCGCCACCCGCGGCCGAUCCGCCCGAAGCCGCGCCACCCGCGGCCAAUUCGUCGAUGCCCAUGCCGAGCCGCCGCCCAUGACUCUGCUCGUGAUCUCGGCCGAGCCGCGCCACCCGCGCGCCGUCGUCGACUUUGAUGGCUCGAACCCGAGGAGUUCCCUCUGAUGCCGCGUCGCUCCACCUCGAAGACCGCAGCCCCGUCGAUGCCGCGCCGCUGUCGUGGCCCUUCACCGCUGCAGAGCGUCGUCGUCACGGCCCUCCUCCGUCGCGGUCUCAGAUCCGCGGCUCCACUGUCAGGUCACAGCCCCAGCGGAGCUCCGUCAUCAACAAAGCCCGCCAACCGCUCGACGGCGAACCUGAGAGAGAGAGCGGUGCUCUCCUCUCAAACGGAGUCCGCCCACCAACCGCUCGACGGCGAACCUCUCCUCUCAAACGGAGUCCGCCCACCAACUGUUUGACGAAAUGCCCAAGACAUAUCUUUCGACGGCGAACCUGAGAGGGAGCGGUGCUCUCCUCUCAAACGGGUUCCGCCCGCCAAUUGCUCGAUGUGCCCGGAGUCCGCCCACCAACCGUUCGACGGCGAAUCUGAGAGAGAGAGCAGUGCUCUCCUCUCAAAUGAAGUCAAGUCCGCCAACCGCUCCGACGGCGAAACUGAGAGAGAGAGCGGUGCUCUCCUCUAAAAAAAAGAGAAAGAGACGUUACUUCUCCAAUGAUAAAAAGAGAGAGAGCUUAGUUAAUGUUAGGGAGGCAAGGAAGGGAUUUUUUAUCCCGCCUUAGUUGUCCCACGAAUGUAAAAGAGAUAAAAAGAAAUUAUUCAUCUCUGUUAUAUUAUAUUUUUAAAAGAGAUAAAGAGAAAAAAAUGUAUUCUCUUAAUUCUCAUUCAAUGAAGAAAUGAAAGAAAAUUAGUCGGAUUUUCGAUUAAUAUUCUUUUGAUUGUUCUUUUAACAGUGUUCAAAAAUAAUCGAACCCUUCAAUUGAACCUUUCGAUUUGGUCGAAUUAAAUCGAAUCAAUAUUUAAUUAUAUUUCGGAUGAAUUUGAUUUUGAACUAAAUGUUUAAAUAUUUUGAUUUCGAAUCUCAUAUAGACCAAACUAUAUUCAUCUCACAAGUUCAUUAAGACCAGCCCAAACGCAAAUCUAGGCCCAAUUACAUGAUCUGCCUAAAAGAAAAUUUGGACUUAUGCCAUCAGGCCUAAAUUAAGCCCAAGCCCAUAUGUAACUUAAGCCCCAACAUUAUAUGGGCCUGAAUUUGACCUAUGUUUGAAUGCAAUUGUAUAAAUCCAACUUUGGGCCAUUUUAAACCCAUGAAACUAUAUAUAUAGCCCAGAUCCAAAUUUUAAAAAACUAUAUGGUCUGGAAUCUAGCCCAAAUUCAGAUUCACAACCAAUCAAAUCUUACAUUGAGCCCAAAUCCAAAUCCCGUAUUGAACCCAAAUCCAAAUCCCAUAUCAAGCCCAAAUCAAAUUGAGCCCAAGCCCAAAUGAGCCCGAAUUCAACUCCAAAUCCAAAUGAGCCAUAUUGAACCCAAAUCUCAAUCCAAAAUGAAUUCGGCCCAUAUGAAGCCCAAAUCCAAAUCAAAAUAUGAAGCCCAAAUCCAAACCAAAACAUGAAGCCUAAAUCCAAAUCAAAAUGAAACCAGUCCAUGUUAAGCCUGAAUCCCAACCCAAUAGCCAACCUACACAAUUAAACCAAACCCAAUCCAAUUAUUUAUCCAAAUUGAUCCAAGCCAAACCCAACCCAAUUAAUUCCAAUCCGAAUGAGCCCAUAUCAAACCUUUUCUCUAGCAUAUAUAUAACUAGAGCUAAAUCUUGACAUAGUCAAACUCGAUCAAAUUCUAAAAAUGUUUGAUUAGAAUUGAUCAAACCAUAUACCAGGUUUCACCUAAUCAAAUCAAUUGAACUCUAAUAUAUCUACUUAGAGUUCAGAUAAAUGAAAUUAAAUUAAACUCUAAUACACACACUUAGAGUUUAAUCUUGACUAAUCCUAACUUAUAGAAUUAGGAUUCAGUUGAUAUUUUACCUUAUGAUAAACCCAAAUUCAUCUAUUGAUUAGACUCUAAUACAUACACUUAGAGUUUAAUUUCGGCUAAUCCUAACACAUAUAAUUAGGAUUUGGCCCGCAUCUCGCUACAUGGUGGACAUAAAUUCAUCUUAUGGCGAACCCAAAUGAAAUUAAAUUGGACUCUAAUAUAUACAUUUAGAGUUUAAUUUAAAAUAUUUGACUAAUCCUAACAUAUAUAAUUAGGAUUUAGUUCGUGUGAAACUAAAUUAAACUCUAAUACAUACACUUAGAGUUUAAUUUAAAUCAAAUUUUAACUAAUCCUAAUACAUAUAAUUAGGAUUUAGUUAAUAUUUAACCUUAUGGUGAACUUAAUUAAGCUCGAACAUAUAAGCAUAGAGCUUAAUUAUAUUAGACUUUAAAAUGUAAAAUUAGAGUCUAAUCCAAAAUAUUUGAGCUAAUCCUAACACAUACAUUUAGGAUGAAAGCUUAAAUCAAAUCCCAUUGGACUUUAUCACAUAUCUUUAAAGUUCAAUUAACUAAAUCAAACUCUAAUUCAUUUAAUUAGAGUUUAAUUUGAAUCAAAUCUGAUUAAAUUCCAAUGUAUAUACAUGGAAUUUAAUCAACCGUUCAUCUUAGGGUGAACAAUAUGGUUAAGCACUGAAACAUAUAAAUCAAUUUGAUUAUAUACUUUGAUAUCUUGGUUCAGAAUCAAAUUCAAUCAACCGUCGUACUGAAUUAUGUUAUAAAAUUCAUCUUUUAUUCAAUCACAGCAUUACAAAGGUCUCUUAAUCGAAGGUGCCCUAACACUUUGUAGGGGUAAUUAACAAUAGACGCUUGCGUUUAUUGGAAGCCAUGAAUCCACAAUACCUGAUAACCAUACAUACACAUACUUUAAUCUACAUCAUGAAUACUAUCCCACGGUGGAAAAUCAAAAUAAGAUCAACCGUGCGAGGUACGUCAUUCGUGGUGGCAGACACACUACCUGUAGCUGGUAUAUCUCUAGAUCAGCAGCAACACUGGAAGGGAUCUAACUCGCGACUUCCUUUCCAUGAUCAGUAUCCGUGACCGUAGCAGCCAAAAAAGAAGGCCCUACAAAAAGGAUCCACAACUGGGUGUGAGAACUACUGCAAAAAGAAGUUGUCCUCAGUGGGUACCGCUACCUACCUCAACGGCUCACCCACUAAGUCUACAAAGGUAAGCAAGGAUAGUGAGGAAAGCUAGAACAAAUCUACAGUAUAAGCCACUAUACUAUCAUGAUCCAACACUAACUAUCUGUAGAAGAUACAAGUCCUGACCUUAUUUCACUAGGGACUGUGAACACACCCGUUCUCCUAUCGAAACGAACUCGUAUACUACUCCAUGAGUAGCCGGUGGAGAAAAGUGUUGGAAAAAUCUUUCUGAUCUUUUAUUAUAAUAUUUUUUAAAAACCAAAUCGGAAAUUAAAAUUUAAGUUUGGAAAAAUCCCAAAACAAAAUUAAACAAAAAUAUUGAAAAUAUAAGGUUUAGAUAAGGCCUGUGGAUCGAGGCGUGCAGAGCACUGUCCUAAAAGCGAAAUUGCCCCUCCACGUGCGAGGCUUCCCGGCAAUUACUCCUAGCGAUACAACGACCACGUUCCACCCCGUCGGCGCGCUUUCAAGGUGGCGCAAAACGAACCCAACCAACUUCAGAUCCAGCAAUAAAAACUCGGCGAAAAUUAAUAGCAAGAAAGUAGAAAAAGACGAGAGGGUUUAGGUAUGCUCGGAUUAUUAUUAUUCAUCAUUAACUCGUGGACCUUCGCCCCAUAUUUAUAAUCAAGGCGAGAAUCUUGUUCUAUCUCAUUAAAUCUGAGUAGAAUAAGAUAAGCCUAAGAUUAUACCUAAAAGGAUUAGGAUUAGGACAAAUAUAAAGAUAAAAAUAAAACUCAAAGAAUAAAUCACAACAAACCAAUAAAGAAAUCCAAUCAAAUAGUUUUAAUAAGUUUUAAAUCAUAACAAACUCAGUAUCCGUGACCGUAGCAGCCAAAAAAGAACGCUCUACAAAAAGUAUCCACAACUAGGUGUGAGAACUACUGCAAAGAGAAGUUGUCCUCAGUGGAUACCGCUACCUACCUCAACGGCUCACCCACUAAAUCUACAAAGGUAAGCAAGGAUAGUAAGGAAAGCUGGAACAAAUCUACAGCUAUAAGCCACUAUACUAUCAUGAUCCAACACUAACUAUCUGUAGAAGAUACAAGUCCUGACCUUAUUUCACUAGGGACUGUGAACACACCCGUUCUCCUAUCGAAACGAACUCGUAUACUACUCCAUGAGUAGCUGGUGGAGAAAAGCUCUCUAGGGACUGAAUAUACCCGUCCCGCCUAACUAGGCUACACCAUAUCUCAAAAGUAACGGGUAGAGAAAACUCUUUAGAGACUGUGAAUACACCCGUCUCGCCCAACUAGGCUACAUCGUAGCUCAAGGGUAGCCGGUCCAAGUAACAAAAGUCCGACAGGACGGCUGUGACUCCACUCACGUCACAACCUCACUGAAGGUAGAGAAAAGCAUCACUAACUACCACUAAUCCAAUCUCACACGGGCUGCACAAACGGACCCACCCUGCCUGUAUCGAGCUACGCUGUACACCACCCACUGGGGUGGCCAGCAUAAGAACUGUCCCAACAGAAACUGCGGCCUCAUCGCACUAAAACCUCAUUCCGGAAUAGCAUUCGUGGGCGCGACCCAACCGAGUUUACAAGUGUUUCUGCGAAGUUCAUUUGGCGCUCACAGGCUAUAGUGAAAACAGAAGGGUCUAACUGAUCUAACAACCAUAAUCUACGUGCCUUCGACACAAUCUGAUGCAAAAACUGCAAACUGGGUCCACCGUCAACCACAACGGCACCCGACAGUCCGAAAUAGUCUAUACUCUACUAUAAAAAUAAACUCAGCAUCCCAACACGAGCGUAAAUACAUUCUACACUAUCCUGGGUAUCCACCGCCCACAAACUGCGACGAUACAAACAAACUACGGCUCCUAGAGCUAAAUCUGGUAGUUUCAGAAAAUGACGGUGUAGAAUCGGCAGUUUUCUUCUAAGUCAAUUCCAAAUCCAACAUGUAUAAUUAAACUAACAUUUUACGCUCCAAAUUCAAAUUUCUAUAGGCAUGCAAAUCCAUAAAUUUGAGCUAAUUAACAAAAUAUACAAUGUCCAAACAUACACGCUGACUACACUAGACUUAGGAGGAAAUCCGUAGAAUCUAGUAAACAUAUCAUUAACCCACAUCAAAAGCGCGUCCAACAACGGCGAGAAGUCAAUAGGAGAGGAACAACGCGCUCGCCCGGCCUCCCAACGACGCAACUACGACAUCCGCGUACUCGAACGGCUCCCCGGCGCGUCCUCGGUGUCGAUCCGAGCUCGAGCUCGAUCCGCGACCUCCUCCACACGCACGGUCAAGGACUAGAGAGAAAGGGAAAACAGCAAGAAAAUCCCUUCUACACGCUCUCUGCAGGUAUAAGAAGGUUGAGGAGGCAUUGGUUUGAACGAUACAUCAAAAGACCCUCACCUACCCUGGAGUGCCGGUAUCAGGCCGAUGCCGUACUGGUACAUCGCAACAGCAAAUGGCAACCUGAGAGCAACAGUUCGGAAAAUUACACUGGGUACCGGUAUUCCCCUGCAUGGUACUGGUACAAAAUGCUAAAAAUCUACAAUUUGUAGAUUUCAGUGCUAACUUUCUGUUCUCGCGUCUCACUGAGUCUGGUUUGCGUCUAUUUCGCGCCAACAUGACUCGGACUUGUUCCGACACUCUCCAGAUGUGUCGACAAGCCUCAGAUGCCUAAAACCUAGGUUCUACAUAUAUAUAUAUAUAUAUAUAUAUAGUAUAUAUAUAUAUAUUAUAUUAUAAUAUAUAUAUAUAUAUAUAUAUAUCAUUUAUAUAUAUACUAUUAUAUAAUAUAUAGAGUAGGCUGGUAUACUAUCAGUAGCACGGAGCCUCCGUGCUACCAACGUUGUUUUCAAUGAUGCCGGACUUCUAAUUCGUACGGAUCGCUCCGUAGGACUUGAUCUACCUUUUAAAAGUAUUUGGAAACUUAGAAUUUCAUUAAUUUUCGGCAUUAUUUACUAUCAAACGAGUAGUCUACAAUAAGACGAGUGAAAUAUAAAAUCUCAUUAAAACAAUCGGAUAAAGGGAGUUCAAAUUUUCAAUCGGAAUAUUGAUCUUGCUUUUGUGAUUAAGUAGAAUUUUCUAUUCUAAUUUUCAUCUAAUUUGGAUACUUCAUAUAUACGUUGAACUUAAAAAACGCAGGGAUCAUAUCUACUAUUUAAAUGUAAUUUUGAACUUUUGAUCUACUUAGCAAUAUGAUAUCAAAGAUUUAUAAAAUUAGAUUUCGAAAUACUUUUAAUAGUGUAGAUCUAUAUUCUAAAGAGUCUCGUAUGUCGUCGAUUUGAAAGCCCGCUCAUUGAAAACAACUUCACGGUAGCACGGACGAGCCUCGUGUACGAUAGUAUACCACCUAGCUCUAGUAUAUAUAUAUAAUAUAUUAGAAUAUCUACUAUAUAUCACAUCGUCCAAAAGGGCCCUGUACAUUGAGUUUUUGGCCGGUUGGAUGAAGAGAAUGUGCGCGUUAGGAUAUAUGCGUCCCCGGUUAAAAAGUGUCCCUAGGUGUGAGUGGGUGGUUGGAUUUAAUAGUAUUAUCUAACGGGUGGAAAUAACAAGGGUAAAUCUAACGUAGAAAACUCAAUAGUAUCAAGGUUGUACUCAUCAUAGUAUAGUAGCUGGACUCUCUCUCUCUCUCUCUCUUCUCCUCUCUUCUCGCUCUCUCUAUAUAUAUAUAUAUAUAUAUAUAUAUAUAGAAUUAGUGCCCCUUAUACUAUCUAUUAGUACUUUGAGUCUCCGGUACAUAGCUUUGUUUUGAUUUAGGGUAGUUCCAAAUUAACGAUCCACACAUUUACAAUAUAUCUAGGGUCUAUGGAAGUUGCUUAGGAUAUAAAAUUUUUAGGUUUUUUUUGACAUCGUUUACUUAGUAAAUAAAAUUUAUGUCAAAGAUGGACUGGUUAAAAAUUAAAUAAUACUUUUAAAUUUGAUAAGAGGACUUUUAAAUUCUAGAAGGUCACGAAUGUUAACCUUAAUCUAGAUUAGUUUAAAGUAUUUUCUAUCAAAAUUUGAGAAGUUUAGAUUUUUCUACACCGUCUAACCCCAAACUCACCAUAGUUACGCCAUUGAAUUGACAAUUUUGUGAAACGUGUGAUCAUAACAGUAACUAUGUGGAAAAAAUAUAAAAUUUAUUUCUAAAAUAAAUACCCUAGAUUAGUUUUACGGUUGUAGAUAUGAUUUGAACACCUAAAGACAUCUGAAAACAGACGGACUAUAGAUACCGGAUGUCCCCAUAUAAUAGUAUAGCAGACAGCUCGCUCUCUCUCCUCUCUCUCUCCUCUCUCUCUCUCUCCUCUCUCUCUCUCGCUUAUAUAUAUAUAUAAUAUAGUAUAUCAUAUAGCUUGCCUAGAAUACUUUCGUAAAUACGAGCCGUUUUUACUACCAUUUGUUUUCGUAUUGAUAGAAACGUUCUAAUUGGACGAUCUGCUCAGUUGAACAUGAUCUAUACCACUUGAAGUGUUUAGAAAUCAAAUUUCAAAUCUUUUCGACAUCAUUUGCCUAAUGAUCAAAGCGGCUUUCCAAAUUGUAAUUUUAAUGGUCAAAUAAGAGGUUUUUCUCGUUCAAUGCGCUUAAAGAUAUCCAAAUGAACUUUUGUUAGAAAUUUCUUUAAAUCUAUUUAAAACAAGAGCUGAUACUCUUGAUUUUGAUUACAGACCCAUCAUUAUUUUUUAAAGAGUAUUCAUUCUCAGGUCAUUCAUUUUGUCUGUUCAUCUUGAUGGAUAAAAGAACAAUCCGAAAGUGCCUGAAAUUUGAUAGCAAAAAAAGCAUCUUUACUAUCUAAUAGUAUUCCGUCUACACGAAAAGGCCUCCGUACUUCCAGAAGGAUAGUGUAGCCUUAACAUAUAUGACUAUAUAGUAUAUAUAAUAUAUAUAAUAGCAUGAAAGUCCGUACUUCCAGAAGUAUAGUAGCCUUAACAAUUAUUAUAUAUUAUAUAUAGUAUAGAUAUAUAUAUAUAUAUAUAAAAUAUAUAUAUAUAUAGAUAUAUAUAUUAUAUAUAUAUAUGUGUGUUAAGGUAGCUAUACUUCUGAAGCACGGAGCCUUUGUGCUUCCAGGUUUUUUCCAUGUUGCUGACUUCCGAAUCGUCGAUCGGCCUCCGUUAUACUUGAUCUAGAGUAUUUGAGUAUCUAGAAAAUAAAGUAUGUGAUUUUUCGAUAUUAUUUGCCUAAGUGAACGAGGGCUCAAAAAUCAACGGCUGAAAAUAAAAAUUUACAAAAUGUGAUAAUAUGACCAUUAAAAUUUAUCAAUCAAAGAAUGUAAUUUUUAUAUAUAGUAUAAAAAUUUUCUAUCAAAAUGUUUCACGUGAUUGAUUCGGAUUAUUUCUACACGCGUUAAAGCUUCCAACGGCUCACUACGGCCAUUAAAUUAUUGAUUUUGACCUCUUCGAUCCACUAGGCAAAUUAAUAUCGUAAAAUCUAAAAUUUAUUGUCCUAGGUACUUUCAAAAUACUCUAGAUCAAGUUUAGCGGAACGCGUGAUCAACAUUCGAAUACUCGCACAAUCCGAAAAACACCUGGAGCACGGAAGUCUCCCGUACUUUCCAAAACAUAUAGUAAUAAUAUAGUCAUAUAUAUAUAUAUAUAUAUAUAUAUAUAUAUAUAUAUGUAUAUAACUAGACUAAUAGUACUAUAAUGCAACAAAGUCAUUGGUCGCUACCAAGUUUAUUGGCCAUUUGAUUAAGGGCAUGUGCGGUCUAGGAUAUGUGAGCUCCUAGGGGAUACGUGGUUUGGUUUGAAAUAGUAUAUUCUAACGGAGACGAAUAAUGAUUCAAAAGAUUAGACUCUACUGCCUGAAAACUUGGUACAGCACAUUGUUCGUGCCUAGUAAUAGAUAGUUAGCGGGACUCUCUCUCUCUCUCUCUCUCUGACUCUCUCUCUCUCUAUAUAUAUAUAUAUAUAUAUAUAUAUAAUUGAGCUAGAAUACUUUUAGAAGCACCAACCCCUUGGUGCUUCUAAGUUUCUAGCCCUUGGAUCUACUUCUUGAUCCAACAGCUAAAAACUUGAUAGCAAAAAAGUCCUUUCGCUAUCAAUAGUAUUGUAGCCCAACUAUAUACAUGUAAUAUAGGGUUACUAUACUUUUAUGAGUAUAAAGCCCUUCGUAUUCAUAAGUUGUUUUUGAUAUUGGGGCUUUCGAAUCAAUGAUCCACAGCGUUAAACAUGAUCUAGAGUAUUUGAAACUUCUUGAAAAUAAAUUUCGUAAUUUUUCGAAUAAUUAUAAAGUCCAUCAAGCGGGUACAAAAUAAACGGUCAAAAUCGAACGACAUCCUAAAAAUGAAUGAUCGGAUGCUUCAAUUUAAGAUCAGAGUUAUUGAUCUUUUAUUUAGGUAGUGACUAGAAUUUUCUAUCAAAAAUUCAACCUAAUCCGAUUCUUUUACACCAUUAAAUUAGCAAGUAUCCCAUCCGGCUGCUAAAAAUUUUCAAUUUUGUGAGCUUUUGAUCGUGAGGUAAAUAAUAUCGAAAAAUUAUAAAAUUUGAUUUCUAGAAGUUUUAAAUACUCUGAAGGAAAUACAUCCGGAAACUCGCGAACUAUAGAAAUAUCCUCGAGUCCCGGCGCCGCCGUAGGCACCUCUACAACCGUCGCCAGAAAAGCGAUGCAUUCUCUGCUCAUUAGCUGUCAAGCCCUCGCCGAAGAUAUCCAAGUGGCAAACAACGUACUCUUGUAGCCUCUGAAUGUGAAAUCUUCCUCGCUUGACUCGCGAAACGUCACAGCCCUCGCUCCACAGUCGAUCGUAGCAUAGUACCGCGUCAGCCAACCCAUGCCAAGCACAAAGUCAAAGUCCUGCAGCUGCCCUAAAACCAACAGGUCUGCGGGCAUGAUCCAAGAAUCUAACUGUACCGGACACGACCAACAACACUCGGCUACCUGCAAGACAUGGUCGGAAAUCUGCGCCUCUCGUGUAUGCAAUAACGGCCCUAUCUCUAGACCAUGCAACAAUACAAAUGCUCGGCUAACAAAAGAAUGUGAUGCACCGGUAUCAAAAAAAGUACGAGCCCUAAUACCGGAAAUCAAAAUGAUACUUGCCACCGUCCGAUCGGCUACAGUAGAGUCCUCCACCUGGGCUACAUAUACCCUGCCACUUGAAGCCUNAGAAUGUGAUGCACCGGUAUCAAAAAAAGUACGAGCCCUAAUACCGGAAAUCAAAAUGAUACUUGCCACCGUCCGAUCGGCUACAGUAGAGUCCUCCACCUGGGCUACAUAUACCCUGCCACUCGGAGCCUACUGUCGCCGCUCACCCAUCCGCAGCAUAGAUGUCCUGUCCUCCUGGCGGUAACUCGGUGCUGCCCCAAAAGAUGGCUGAGAUACUGGUGAUGCUGACGCUGUCGAGGGUGCUGAUGAUGCUACUCGGGAACACGCUGCCCUCAUAUGUCCCGACUGUCCACAAGUAAAACAGCGGCCCUCCUUCUGCUCGCACUGUUGGGGCCAGUGUAGUCCCCCACAAAUCACGCACAGUGGAGUCCCCCAAGACUGCCCCUGCUGACGAGCUCAUCUGGAACGCUGACGGUUCGAAGACCCACGACCCUGAGAGCGUGAUCGUGGAGGUCUGGGCGGAUGCCUGCUGCUCGACUAUCCACCAUCAUCUGGAACCGGGUGCUUCCUAUCCUGACUCUGCCCCGGCACUUGGAUCCGCUCACGGAUCGAUGCAUCAGCUCUCUCCACCCAAAGAGUCUGCUCCAUAGACGCGUCCAAGGUCCUCAACCUCUGCGCCUGUACAAACCUGAAAAGCUCUAGUCUCAAGCCUCGAUCAAACAAAUACACCCUGUGUGCCUUGUCUCUGGCUACAAAUGGAACAUAGUUCAGUAGUCGAGUAAACUCGCGGAUGUACUCCUGAACUGAUCGAUCCCCCUGGUGGAUCUUCUUUAGAUCUUCCUCGAGCUUUUGUUUCACACUGUUUGGAAAAUACAUUCCGUACAGCAUUCCACAAAACUCAUCCCAACUCAUCUGUAACGCCACCAAUCCCUGGUUUUGCCUUAUCCUCUUCUACCAAGCAUGUGCAUCGCCGGCCAAGCAGUGAACUCCCAAGUGUACCUGCUCCCGCUCAGGAAUAAACAAGCCCUCAAACAGUUUCUCCAUCGCGCUGACCCAGCCUUCUACAACCCAGGGUUCCGUGCAGCUGCCGUCAUAGGUCGGCGGAUCGAAACGACGAAAACGAGCCAGCCUCUUUGUCAUCCGCUCCUGCUCAACCUCUGACAUCCGUAGUACCCCUCCAGAAGAUACAACCGGUGCCGUAGGAACUGUCGCUGGCAGGUGUACUGCUGUGGUUGGUGCGGCCACUGGAGUAGUCGGUGGUGGUGCUGACUGCUCUGGUGCCCUCGGUACUGCGCUUGGCGGCGGAGCGAACGCCUCGCACAUCCUCUGUAACAACGCCCCCUGCUGCCUCGUCACCUCAGUCAGGGCAGCCAACUGCUCCCGUAAAUUAGGAAGUGCGCUCGCUUCUGGUCGUGCACUCGGCUCUGCCCGCUCAGGCAUCUCAGAUGGUGCAGAACGGUCCCGCGUCGACGGUUGACCUCGGCGUCGAUAUAUAGCUGCCAAGAAAAGAAAUAUGGGUCAGAUACAAAAACACAAACACUCUCGACCCAAUCAAGCGAAAGUUUAAAAAGCAGUCCCUGUUUCUCCUUAAAAUUAUGUCGUCUGCAACAGACAUAAUUUUUCCUGGCCGAAACAGACGCUCCUUCAAUCACUCAUUCCACUCUAGGAGUUAGAACUAAUCAAUCGCUGACUUCCGCGAUAAAUCACGCCUCUCGCGCUUUUCAUCCUAAGGUUUGCCAAGCUUAAGGUUUCCUAGAUCCCAAUGACCUAAUACUAAGCUCUGAUAGUAACUUAAUCUGUCACGCACCGGAUUACUCGUUACUCCGGGCACACUAACAGACCCGCCGUACACAUAGAAAUUUUUUCAUGUAUAUGAAGCGAUAGUUGUACCUGUACCUGUAAUCAUACAACACUACAACCAAUAGUAUAGAGCUGCUAAAAACAAAAGCAUAGAUAAAUAACAUCGGUUCAAAUACAUACAUAGUAUCCUGAUACAAAAAUCACUCGCACGAGCGAGGAACUAACAUCAGUAUGUAAAGGAACCAAAAACUACAACAACCUGUAGCUGGUAAAUAACUCUAGAUCAGCAGCAACUGGGAAGGGGUCUAGCUCGCAACUCCCUUUCCCCGGUCUGUAUCCACGACAGCGGCAGUAGAAGGCAAGGCUCUGCAAAAAGAGUCACCAACUGGGUGUGAGAACUACUUCAAAAAGAAGUAGUCCUCAGUGGGUACCGCUACCAACCUCAACGGCUCACCCACUAAGUCUACAGAUGUAAGUAAGGCUAGAAAAGAGAGCUGGAAUAAAUCUAAAGCUAUAUGCCCCUAUACUUUCAAGAUCCAAUACUAACUAUCUGUAGAAAAUACAAAUCCUGACCCAAUCUUACUAGGGACUGUGAACACACCCGUCCCGCUUGUCAAAGCUACACUAACUGUCACCACACUAGGUCGUCAGUGGAGAACACGUCCAAACAGGACAAAGCGACGUCAACGCAAAAGCACUAAGCCCGACUCCGGAGUGGCACUCGUGGGCGCUAUCCAACCGAGUAUGCUAGCGUAUCUCUGCCGAGCUCAAUCAGGCUCUCACAGGCUAUAGUCAAGCAAACAGGGUCUAAUAACCAAACUCACGCGCCCUCGGCACAAUCUAAUGCAAACACAACAAUCUGGGUCCACCGUCAACCUCAACGACACCUGACAAUCCUGAACAGCCUAAACACUGCUGUAAAAAUAAGCUCGGCAUCCCAGCACGAGUGUAAAUAUAUUCUACACUAUCAUGGGUAUCCACUGCUCACAAACUGCGGCAAUAUAAACAAACUAUAGCUCCUAGAGCUAAAUCUUGUAAUUUCUGAAAAUGACGGUGUAGAAUCGAUAGUUUUCUCCUAAGUCAAUUCCAAGUCCAACAUAUAUAAUUAAACUAGCAUUCUAAGCUCCAAUUCAGAUUUCAAUUAAGGAUAAUGCAAAUCUACGAAUCGAGCAAUGAAAUAUGAUAUAUAAAAAUCUACUAAUACAUGCUGUCAAUAGAACUUAGGAGGAAAUCCGAAAAUUCCGAUAAGCAUCAUUAACCCACCUCGACUCGAGCUCAAUCAUAGCAAGCAAUCGCUGAAGAACCCUGUCGAGACCAGCCACCAAACAACAACCAGCAAUCACCUUCCACAAGGAUCAAAACACAAGAACACUAAAAUUCUAUCAAUACUCUAAAUUUUCAGCACUUAAGCUAAAUUUCACAUUAAUUUCAAUGUCAAACUCACCUUCUAAUGCUCACAUCCAAUGAAGGGAGGUCUCAAAACCAGUGGAGAGUGAUGGAAUAAUAAGCUCAGAUCGAAAAUCCAGCUCCUUUCAUGAAUUGACCCAAGAAAACCAACAAAAUCCAAAAUUCAGGUCCAAAACAGCAUCAGCUCAGUAAAAUAGCAAAUUGACCAUACAAACCUUAAUCAAAUGCUGUCCAAAAUAGCUCCACGGAAUCUCCAAGAAGUCUAAAAACCACCAAACCAAGUUUCGUGGCAAUCCGACCUUCCUACGUCGCACACGAGCCAAAACGCCGAAAGUCGUUGUUGGAAAACUGCUAGAACUGCAAUCCUCAAGGUGGAAUUGUGGAAUUUGGAGAGUUUGGAGGGCUAAAAUGCAAAAUCUGAGUUUCACUAUGAAGAAAGAGUGAAAAUGAUUCUCAGGGGGUCGAACUCCAGUUUUUAUAGGGAGAAGAAAGGGUGAGAUAAGCCCCAAGAACAGAAAAACUAACCUGUUGUUCCUGCAGAAGCGGCCACUUUCGGGCGUCCGAAAUCAUGUUCUGGGUGUCCGAAACUCCCAGCCUAUACAAAAGCUCCACUUUGGUUUCUCCGCUCGCGGUAAGAUGCGCCCGAAACCUGGUCCGGCGGAACUCACCUACUACCACAAACAUAUCAGCACAAUCGAUAUUCCCAAUGCAACUUUCGGACCCACAUCAGGGCGCCCAGAACAUAGGAUCCGAAUUGGCUUCCAGUUUCAGUUUAAUAUAGUUCAAUUCAACACUCAAGAUCUGGACGAUCCAAACCUGAUUCUGGGCGCCCGAAUAUGGCAAAACUUCAGUUUUGCUUAUUUGAGUGCGCCGAGUCCGUUUUUGCAUUCAUUUUGAGCAAAAACAACUCCGAUUCAAUCCGACACUCUCCAGAAGUGCCGACUAAUCACUAAAACUGGAACCAAUCCGAUACCAAGCCUCCGGGACACUACAUGUACAGUUGAGAUGAUGGUAGUAGGUUGUGUUAGGUGAAAUAGUGUUUGAUCCAAAGGCCAUUAGUAAUUAAGGAGUAGAUCUAAGAGGUAGAAACUCUAAAGCACUAAGGGGUUGUUGCUUUUGAAAAUAUUCUAGUUCAAUUAUAUAUAUAUAUAUAUAUAUCAAACAGUUGUUAUUCUUUUGGUUUUUGCAAUAAGACAAAGUUCAAGCAGAGCUCUAGCAAUUCUAGUGAUAGUCAUGAGCAAGAGAACAUUCCUAGUGGAGAAACUUAAGAAAACUAAUGGUUUUUUUUUAAAAAAAAAAAAAAAAACUCAAUGGAAACGUACAAUCAUGAAGUAAAAAUGCACGGAACUUUCCUCAAUAAUUACCUAUUUUCAUCUGAUGAUCUGUAAUUUUUAGAUUUUUUGUUUUUUGUUACGUAACAUUUUAAUUUAUUUAAUUUGAGCUAGUUAAUGAUUCUUUACUAUCAAAAUUUGAAUUUACGCACAUAGGUAGCAUAUUCUAUACAAUUCAUGCAACUAUAAAUUCAUUAAGAGAGCCGUCAAAUAAUUUAAAUCAAACAAAUUGAGAUGUUGGGUACUAAAAUCAAAGCUUCAAAAUAUUGAAUAGUCGAAUCAAAAUGACCCAUGAUUUAGACAAGUUUGUUUCGUACAUUUUGACCAAUCCAACAAUUACUUUUGAAAUCCUUCGCUAGUCAUGCUACCUCCAAAUUUGAGAACGCAAAAUCGGGAAAAAAAAAGAGCUGAUCAUCAAAACACUGACGUGAAGAAUAUCUCUGUAAUUAGAUUAUUGUAUCCAAACACACAGGAGGGAGGAGUGAUUCCUUCGUGCAACAAUUAAACAAAAUCACCAGGUUUUAGAGGCAUCGACUUGAAAGAGUAAUUACUAAUUAGCAUACUAAGCACCUUAGAAGGUAAAACCAUAAUAAUAAAGUAACACCAACUAGUGCACAGUAGUAUCAUAAAAUAGCCAAAGACCAUGGUGAAGCAUCAAGAAUCAUUGAUCAAUUACGGCAUGCAACUACCAAUAUAAAUCCAUUUAAAUACUAGCAUCAUCAUUCUGCAUGAAACAGAACUUCGUUUCAAUUUGUGGUGUUACAUUUUGCAUGAUGUAGUUAUUAAAUACAGAGUUAGUUUAAUUAGAACUUAUUCAUGAGGUUUAUUGCGAUUAAACUAGCAGCUAAGCAGAAUCAGAGAUUAAAACUGAGGAUUUGAAGUUAAUUAUUUGUGCAUCGUCACAACUUAUCCAAAAGACCAAAAUGACUUAAGUGAAGCAACAAAUCCAGAUGCUAAGUGACUCAACAGUAAACAUUCUUUAUUUAUCUCAACUUCUGAGGAACUACAAAGAAUUGAAGGGCUGCAUUAUCCGAAAUGAGAUCUUCAAAGCAACAAAAAAAAGAAGAAAAAUAAUAACCGAAAGAAACAAACAAAAAAAAUUAAACACCACUCCAUCUCCGACCAAGUCGCAAGGAGAGCAAUUCAUCGUCACCAUCUCUCCUCUCCGAUUCGGGCUGCGGCGCGCUCUCAGGCUCCUCUGGCUUUGCCAGCUCAUACUCGGCGCCCCAACUCAUGUUCAGCUCGUUGACACCCAUAAUAUUGACUAGGUAUUUACAUAAAUAUACACCAUAUGUAAAAUAUGAUCUUAAUUAUACAACUAACUUAAAAUGUCAAACAACUUAAAUGACCUUCAUAGUUGGGCAAAAAUUGUAUGGACACAGUGUCCAAAUUAACAUUUUUGAGUGUGCUCUCGAUCGGCGCCACGUGGCUCGCAGGCUCUCAUCUUACCGUCUUUUUUUGUUCUUAAAAAAAUGUGAUUUUUUUUUAGAGAGAGAAAGAAGUAGAUGAAGGAAAAUGAAUGAUGGGAUGGGCGCCUGCGAGCUACAUGGCGCCCAUCCGGAGCAUCCCCAAAAAUACUAAUUUGGACACUAUGUUCAUACAAUUUUUGCCCUUCAGUAGUUAGGUUCAUUCUUUCCUUGUGUCAUACAAGAUACAAAUGACAUUUGUUAUUGAUUCACCUUUUCCUUGUGAGAUGGUAAAAUAAUUACAAAAUAUAAUGCUCGAUGCAUUUAUAUGCCACACGAUUUACAAUAAUUUGUCCUAAACAUUAUAGGAGAUUAGAGUUAUGUUAUAUUAUAUUUUACUAUUUGUGAUAUUGGAGGAUUAACCAAUGACCAAAAAUUUUAUAUUUGUUAAAAUUUUACUGCACAAUAUUCUUUACUUCUAUAGGUGGGGAUAUCAAAAAAAUUUAUAAAAAAUAAUAUAAAUAUUAAUAAAAAUACUAUAGGCAGUGAAAUUUUUUUAUCAUUCGAGUAUUGAAAUAAAAAUUAUAGUUUUUCAUCUGUUAUUUAAAAUAUUUAACACAUAUCUACUAAUUAUAACAUUUUGCAGAUACAGCACCUAUGCUUCUCCUUUGCUGCUGCUGCCGUCUCAUCUCCGGCAACAGCGCCAAAGGACAAAGCGGCGGAUGACGAGGGUUCACCCGCGCCGCUGCCGUCUUGAAGGCGUUGUUGCACAUACAGCACCUGUGCUUCUCCUCUGCCGCCGCUGCAAUCUCAUCUCCGGCGACAGCGAUAGAGGACAAAGCGACGGAUGACGAGGGUUUACCCGUGCCGCUGCUCACUACAACAAAUAAGGUUUGUUCUAGCAGUUUUUUAGCCACCAGUUAUGCUAACUGUUGCUAAAACUAUAUUAUACCAGCAUUUUUUUAUUAUUUCUGUAACAUUUACUAAACCGUUGGUAUAGAAGUAAUAAUUUUUAAUGUAUAAACAAUGUUGGGCCUUUUUUUAUUAGCUUAUUUAAUCAAUUGGGCCAAUAAUUGGGCCACAUUGGAUUUGAAAAGCCUUGCAACUAAAAUGCACCACGUGUCCAUCUCUAAGCUCUCCACCAUCUCUGAGCUCUCCAUCUCCCACCACGAGCUCGAUCUCCACCACGAGCUCUCCAUCUCUGAGCUCGCUCGCUCGCGUCGACCUCGUCGCUCUCUACUAUCAUCGCCUCCUCCUCCACCUCCCUCUAAUGGCGCCACUCCCUCAAGCUCCAAACCCUAGCUCCACAAGUCUCCUCCUUCCUCCUCCAUCGUAGGCGCGUCCAAUCCUUUUCCUUCUCUGCUUCUCAGGAAGGAGUGCCCUAACACCGAGUGUGGGACGGGGACGUUCAUGGCCAACCCAUAAUUUCUAUUGCUCGUGCCCUAACAUUGAGUGCGCUCGAUCGCCAUUACUGUGGCAAGUGUGGGCUCACCUGCGUCUACCAGAACAAAGGUGAGUGAAUCAUUACUUUUUGAUAGACAAUUCGUAGGGGGUUUUGAAUUUGAGAUCUGUUUUUGGUUAAUGUUUUUCUUGUUCGAUUACUCGAAACUUAAUUGUUUAAUUGCUAUUAAUAGUAGAUAAAUUGUUUAAUUGUUUAGUUGCUAUUAUCCGGCAAUUGGCUCUAAUAGAAUUUGUAAUUUGUUUUGCAUAGAACACCCUCACAGGGAAUGUGCACAAAUAAUAGAGAUUUCCAUAGGCACUUUGUGGGAGUAAUUGCAUAAUUUCACAUAUUUGCAAAGAUGUAUAUUUGCAAAAAUUUUCAAAGUAAUGUAGGAUACAACAUAUGUACAUACAUAGCUAAAGCUUUUUGGUUCCAAGUCAACUUCCUAUAAUACACUAUUGGCUAAAGAAACUAUUCAAAACGCUAAGAAGAAAGUGUCAAAAUUGUUGUUUAUUCAGAUCCUAGUGUUUUUAUUUGCCUUACCUUGAAAUUUGAUGGUUCAUUGCAAACUGGAAGUUGCAGUGAAAUAGAGACAUUAUCAAGAUGAAAUGUAUUUGCACACUAUCAGUUAUUUAUUGAUCCAAUGAAGAAAGUUCACACUUGAAACCGGAAGGGCCAUUUUUCUCCCGGUAUUUUGAAUAGCACUUGCAAAUAGGGAGAUGCGUUCAUACUUUUUUUAGUAGAUAAUAGGCGGAGGAUUGCGUUUGGGUAUUUGGUUGCAAUGUUGCAUCAAAAGAAAGACGCUCUUCAUUGGUUGGCAUGAAUUGUAUGGAUAUUGAGAGCAGGCCCGGAGUGUUUGCUGUAUUUGAUUCGGCUUGUUGAACACUCAGAUUAGCUCGAGUUGGUUUUUGACCCGAACUUCCUAACCCUACUCUGAAUUAUGAUAUGGUUAAGUUAGAAAUUCAUCAGAAGGUAGAGCUUGUAAUGAGUCUUUUGUACUAAUCUUUUAUCCGCCUUCUUCUAAGUAUGGUGGUUCUUGGGGAGUAGUUACCGUUAGUAGUCAACAGUACACUAGUUUAAUAAGAAAAUUAUUGACCGAAACAUGCAAGUAGACUGCCCAUCAUCUCACUAUGCCUUUUCAUUUGCUAGUAGACUCAUGAUAAACCUUCCAUAUGAUUCUUUGGCGUAUUUCUUUCUUUUCUGCAACUGUGCUAUUGUCACAUGUAUCUAGAGUUUGAUAGAACUACAAUAGGAAACACAUUUAAAAUGCCAUUCUCCUCGAUUGUUGGUGUGUACUAAAUCUUAAUUUGUUUAAAUCAUCAGGCACUCCUAAUGUGAAUCAUUUGCUGAAGCUUUUUUGAUAGCUAGGACUUGUAUUUAUAUAAAUGGCUAUCGGUAAUAGUAAUUCGGGAAACAGGGCUCUGUAUUUUUAGGGGUCCAUGUGAUUGCCAAAGGCCAUGCCUGUAGAAUUUGCUGAAAUGUACAAUUAUAUUGCAGAUGCUUAUGGUUAUGCUGUUCUUUUGCAACAAUUUAUGCGAACUACAUGUGGCACUUGUGACAGUCAGCAUGCAUGUUUUUACUUUAUUUGCUCUGAAGAGAGUUCAGUGACAUGUGAAAAUUUCAUAGAUCUACUUUAUUUGGUACUGUUUUUACUUUAUUUGCCCACAAAUGCAUGCUCCAAACCAUAUCCCACCAAUUCAAUCUGCAUCUCUCCAAAUCCCCAUAAGAAGAUAUAUAAUUAAUAAUUACAUAGAUUGGACUUAAUAAGAUAGUUUAGUUUAUCUUCUAUUAAGUAUUAGAUAUGUUGUUCUAAAUUGAUUUGAUCACCAAGAUCACAUCCUCCAAAUAUGUAGUCUAGAAAUUAACAUUACCUUGUUACACCUUAUCCCAGAGCGGAUUUUACAAAUUGAGAGUUUGAGAUCUCUCGUCUUCGUGAAUUUGAAGCACGUCUCGAAACUUCUUUUUGAUAUUGUCCUGUCCAACCGACCGUCCCUAGAGCAAGUGGUAAAGGACUUGGUGGUUGGUACUCGAGACCCAAGUUCAAAUCCUAGUUGAUUCACAUUUCUAGCUAAGUUUAUUUCUAAAUGAAAUAAACGAAACGAGUAGCGUGCUACCUAUCUAUCUCUCAAAAAAAGAAAAAAAAGAAAGAAAAAAAAGAAGAAGAUAUUGUCCUGCCCAUUUUGUCACUAGCUUUGUAUUUAAUGUAAAUAGAAGAUCAUCAGUAAAAUUUUUCUAUGAUGUAGAGCCGACGAUUUUCUUAGGAGAAAAAAAAAGAAUAAACAAUCCAAUAUAUAAUAUAGAAAAUAUUGGAAAACAAAUGAGUAUCUUGCUAAUCAAAAUUUAGUCACAUAAUUUAGAGCGUAUUAAACUAGUACGUUUACUUAAUUUCUUCUCGAGAUUCUUUUGUAUUAAUUGGGCCCUACCCACGUGACAAGUCCCCUAUAAGGGCCCAUUGUACUAGAAAAGUGGGUUGAGCCCAACACACACACACACACACACACAAAGUGGGUAAAGUUCCUGCAUGUUCAUUUAUACUUUGGAAUGAAUAACUAUCCUAGGAAGAGAUAGUAAAAUUCAGCUUUGGACUGAUUGAUACUUGUUUGCAUUCGAAAGUGCUUGUUAAAUCAGAAUUCAGAUUUAUAUCCCGUAACCUUGUUUGUAUUCGAAAGUGCAGCAUCUAUUUCCUCAUUUUAUCUUGUAGUUAUGAAAAAAAUGGAAUCAUUUUGUUUUAUAAAUAAUUGCUUGUCACUUCUGAAAUAACUGAUAAAGAAAUAAUAAUACGUACAGGACAUGCCAUAGAAAUUAAUUAAUGGAUUGAAAAGAAAUAAUAAUGGGGUGAUAGGGAAAUAUUGAUGCUUAAUUAAUUUGUGUGCCCCCAAAAUGUAAGUGCUUUAGUACAUUUUGAUCGAUCAUAUAUAACACUAUUUUUUUUUUGUUUUUUUGGUACCUAUAUGGGCAAUGUUUUAGUACAUACUUUGUGAUUUUUGAGAGUUUUGAUUGAUUGAUUGAUUCGCACAUUUCAAGUGUUUCAUUAGUGCGGUGCAUGCAUUUAGAGUUGCAUUGCAGCUCUAGAUCUAAUUGCGUCGCGUGCUAGUUGUGUACUAUUUGAUAGAUUGUACAGUGAAGCCAUUUAUUUAUAUAUUAUUACUUCUGGUUUAGGGAGUUUUUAACUAAUUGGUACACAUACUUUUGAGUAUUUAUUUUGUGUGGCGCAUUUGGAGUUGCAUUAAUUUUAACUCUAGCUGUUGAUAGAUUAUAACUAAUUAAGUCCAUCACUAUAGUUGCGGCUGCAACAAAACUCAGUGUAAUACAUGAUCUUAAAAAUUUGAGGUAAAUGUGAAGAUUUAUUUGUAUCGGUAAUUGUUCUUAUCUAUCCAUUUAUUUGAUUUUAGGAUCAGUCUGUUUUAUUCAGUUAGGUUCCGGAAUUUUUUUAUAGUAGUAAGUUUGUUGAGUAGAAAGUACUUUAAUAGAUGAAAUUCAAUUUUCGAUACUUUUAUUUUUUGCUAUAUGCUACUUAUGAUAGAUUUCUUGUUGGAAUAAGCUUAUGCAUCUCAUAUGUUUUAAUUUUUUUUGUUUCAGAUUGAAGCAAUAAGCAUGAUUUGAUGUUCGCAUUUGAAGAAUGCUUAGCUGGAGCUUUUCACUUUCCUUUUUCUUAACUUUCGAAUAUUUGGGAUUCAAAUAAAUUUUCUAUUGCAUUGAUUUCUAUUAGAAUGUAAAAAUUUGUUUUGUUUGCAUUUUAUCACUGCUCUAGAUCAUUGCUUAUUGUUUUGUUUCAAGAAUGAUUGUAUCAUCUUAUUGCAAUUUAGUAAUAUGACUCUUAUUUUUUUUACGGAUAUUAUAGAUUGUUGGUUUUACAAUUAAUAUCAAAUAAAAAAGCCCUAUUAUAAUUUGUUGAUAUUAGUAUUUUUUUUUUCAUAUUAGUUUCAAAUUGCCAACGGUCAAAUACUGUCGGUACAUGUGUUUUACGCCAGUGUUUUUUUUUGUAGUUUUAACGACGGUUUAAGAACUGUUGCUAGAGAUCAUUUUCACCAGUGGUUAGUAAAAGUGCUGGGAAAAGGCUAUACCAGCAAGGAUAUUGUAACGGUCAUCUACAUUUUUACCAGCAGUUUUAGAACUGCUGGAGCAAAUAUUACUAGCAGUUUUUGUAUUCUUUUUCAGCAGUUUUGAUUGCUGGUAUAUAUAUACCUAUUUUUUUGUAGUGCGCGCUGCUGCUCCGAACAUUGGAAGUCUCUCUCCGUUGGGUUUCUCCUCUCCUCUUCAACUAUGUCUCGACUAUGUAGGAAUCACGAGUGUGUGAGAUUGCGAGAGUGACAGCACGUUAGUGUAACUGAAGUUUAGGAGUGUGGGAACGAAGAAAGAAAAAGAAAGAUUUUAUAAUAUAUAUAGUUGCAUAUAAUUCCAAUCUUAAUCAAAUAAAUGAAAUUCUAUCUAAAUUGCAAUCCUAAUUGUUCUAGGAAUCGAGAAUUAAACUGCUCUCAAUUUCAAAUCCGCAAAUUCGCGUCCGCCUAUCCUCCGGGAUUAGGAUUAGGAUUAGGAUUAGGAUUUCACUCCGCGACUCGGAUCGUUCUGCGCCAUUGCUCGUCUUCUUCCUCUAUCCAUCUCCUGCUUGUGAUCCUCCUCCACCGACGCUUCCUAGGGUUAACGCUUCCUAGGGUUAGGGUUAGAAUUAGGGUUUGGAUCGGGGAUUUGGUCGCCAUUAACGUCGCUAGCUCUGGUUUGGGGUGUUUGUGAGGAAGAGACGAGGCUUUUUCGUAGGGCGAGAGCGAAGCUUUUCUCGCUACAGAACCGUCGAGCUAGAAACUAUUUCAUGCACCUGGUGCAUGAUGCACCACAGCUUUAGGUUUUUUUUUUUUUUGUGAAAAAGCAUCGUCAUUACUUUAUUCUCCGUGUAUGAUAUGAUCCGAAAGAAAUAAACUGCUUAGACCUAUUUUUACAAAUAAAAAUAUUAAAUACUCACUCUUUAAAAUUAAAAAAUUCUAUAAGCCUAGUCGUCUAAAACUCCCAUCUAAAAUUGGUUUCCAAAAUUGGACUGCGACUGAAUCUUCAUAUCUUAGUUCACAAAUUGGGUGUUUGGUCUGCAUUUCGAAAAGUGAUUUUGGACUCUAAAAUAAUUUUCGGCUUAAUAGAACGUUAGGCAGUCUCGUUUCCAAAAUUUGAUUCUAAUUUUUAAAAUCAAUUUGAUGGAAAAGUGAAGGAGGUUAGUUUUGUAAUCCUCUACGAAAUAUAAUAAUUAUUGGUUAAUUUUUGCAGCGACUAUUUAUACUUUGUGAUAUUGUGAUGGUGAUUUAGAUUUGGUCGUAAGCGGAAGUACCUACAAAUUAUGUUGUUUUCAUGAACACAUAGCUGUAACUUCUUUUUGGGACCUCGUUGCAGCUUCUGUGAGAAGAGCUUAUGCUAUUUUAUUGAAGAAGCAUUUGAAGAAGCAUUGGCCUUUUUUUUUGGAUUUACUUCAUACAGAUUCUUAUAAAAAUAUCAAAUAAUAGAUAAAUUCCUACAAAACUUAAAUGAUCAGAUUUAUCCCAUUGAAAAUUUUGUGAUUUGUAAAUAUAUUCUUUUAAAAGGAAUGGUUCCUUCAUAUAUGUUCCUGUCGUGUGAUUCACCGUUAGUUUUUAAACGGUGGAUCAUAUAUGUAGCUUUUCUCACUACCGAACCGUGAACUAGAAAUUAUUGCAUGCACCUGGUGCAUGAUGCACCACAGUUUUAGCUUUUUUUUUUUUUUCUUUUUUUUGGAAAAGCAUCUUCAUGCUUAGACCUAUUUUUACAAAUAAAAAUAUCAAAUACUUACUCUUAAAAUUAAAAAAUUCUAUAAGCCUAGUCGUCUAAAACUCCCAUCCCAAAUUGGUUUCCAAAAUUGGACCGGGACUAGAUCUUCAUAUCUUAAUUCACAGAUUGGGUGUUUGGUCUGGCUUUCGAAAAGUAAUUUGGGAAUGAAAAGUGAUUUUCGGUUCAAUAGAGUGUUAGGUAGUCUCGUUUUCAAAAUUUAAUUCUGAUUUUUAAAAUCAAAUUUCUAAUAUUCGAGGUUCAAAAUAAAAAAGCUAAAACCUACUUCUUGAGAUCCGAUUCUGAUUUUAGAGCUAAAAUUCAAAUUUUUAUUUUGAUUUAGUCUCAAAUUUUUAAUUUUUAAUUGAAAUUCAAAUUUUAAUUUAAAAAAUUUUAAAUUUAUUCUUAAAACUUUAAAUUUCAAACUAUAAAUUUAAUAUCAAAAUUUAUAUAUUAAAUUUAAAAUUUAAAAUGAUAAGUUUUGGUUUUUUAACUACUAAUUUCAAAUUUUGAAAAUUUAAAUUUUAAAUUGUUAGUUUUAAAUUUUUAUUGUUCAAAUUUUAAAUUUCAAAUUUCAAAAUUUCAAAUAUUAAAUUUCAAUUUUCAAAUUUCAAAUUUUAAAUUUCAAUUUUAAAUUAAAAUAUCAAAAUUUAAAUUUUUGUGCAAAUCUCAAAUUUAAUAUUUAAAAUUUUAAUUCAAAUUUCAAAUUUUUUAAAAGGAAUUUAGUAAAAAAUUAUUAUUAUAUGCCAACAUCAAAAAGAUUUGGGCAAACUUCAAAUACCCUUUGUGGUUUCACACUUUCUUACUUUAGUAUCUUGUGGUUUAAAGUGUAUUAAGUUAGCCUCUGUGGUUUCACACUUCCUCAUUUUAGUACCUUGUGGUUUAAAGUGUAUCAAGUUAAUACCCUGUGAUUUUAUUUUUCUCUUUUUAUUAUCCAUUUCACUAAUUCUUUUGUUAAAUCAGUGAUAAAGUAAAAUUAAAGGAUAAUAAAGUGAAUAUUCGAUAAAUCUAGAUAGAGUAUAUGAAGUUUUUUUGUAUAUAAUUUAAUGAAAUAUUAAUGGAGAAAAAAAAAAUCAGCGACAAAGUUAAAACUAAAUGGUAUUAAAAUAAAUAUUCGAUAAAGCUAGAUAUGAUAUUUGAAAUUUUUUGUAAUAAUUUAACGAAAUAUUAACAGAGGAGCCGACGAAAAGAGAAAAAUAAAACCACAGGGCACUAAAUUGAUGCACUUUAUACCACAGGGUACUAAAAUAAGAAAGUGUGAAACCACAUGGUACUAAAUUAAUACACUUUAAAUCAUAGGGUACUAAAGUGAAAAAGUACGAAACCAUAGGGGUGGUAUUUAAAGUUUUUCCAAAAGAUUUUGCCGAACAUGUUUACAGAUCCCUUCAGAAAAAAUCACUUUUCAUCUAAAUUAGUCAAAUGCUCGACAGCUUUUAUUCAAAAUUGAUUCUCCAAACCAAAAUCAAUUCUACAGAAAUUAUUUUUUCAAAAUCUAAACCAAACGGCCAGAGGACAUAACAUACUUGUUUUCAAACCCAUUUUAGCUCUCUUUUUAGUAAAAAAAAAAAAAAAGAGUGGGGAUUUUCUAUCAACUCAAAUUCAAAAUAAAUGAUCACUUAGAAAGUUGUUGCUUCAGCUUACGCCAUACCAAUUUUUCAUAUUCCAUUUUAUUUCUCAUCAAAAGUUACACACAGAAUAGUAAAUGUAACUCGAGUAAUAACACCACCCUAAAAAAAAAAAAAAAGGAAAAUUCCCAAAAAGAAAGAAUUAACACUCUUUCAUCGACCGUCCCGAAAGCAAGUGACAAAGGGCUUAGUAGUUGGUAUCCGAAACCAAGUUCGAAUCCUAGUUGAUUCACAUUUCCAGCUAAGUUUAUUUCUAAAUAAAACAAAUAAAACGGAUAGCGUGCUACUUAUCUCUCAAAUUUUUAUAAAAGUUAAAAAAAGUAUAAAAAAUAUAAAGAAUAAAAAAAUAUAAAAAGAAUAAAAAUAUAAAAAAAAAAAAAAAAAACACUCUUUCAACCAUCAACCUAGCAUCAAAAACACUUUCAGAAUCAGAGUAAAUUAUUAUUAUGUCAAAAUCUGAUUCAAGAGAGGAGCAAAUUCUUCGGCAAAACUACACAGCACCAUCGUGCAUGAAAAGUCUAGAUUCAGAAGCUUACAAUAUAACAGCACACUGCUUCAUUCUCAAGGAUUGUAAUGUUACAGAAGAUACACACAUACGUCGUGCCUUCACGAUGCCAAAUUCUGUUAGUAUUUUGAUUAAAACAAGUGAUUUAAAACUUCUUAAAAAGUCCAUAUGUAUUAAAACUUAAAUUUGAUCUUUGGACUUUGUGGGCAGCCCACUGUCAAUGGGCCUUGCCUGGGAGCCCAAGUUUUGGUCUCUUUUCAUGUGGUGUUUAGUCCCACAUUGGAAAGAGACCCUCACUUGCUUUGGUUUAUAUACUUCUUUAUUCUCAUUGUUAUUACUUGGGAAGUGAUGAGAGUGGAGCUCUCGUCUAAAUUCACGCACGGGCCGGGCGGCGGCGCGCGUGAACCCGAUUCACUUUAUUUUUGUUACACUUUUCAUUUUAUUAUUUUAUUUUUGAUUUGGUCCAGUCAAAGGGUCGCACCUCGGGACUCAACCAGCCCCAACGGUCUACCUCGGGAAGAUGGUCUUCCCGUUGGAACCCUUCUUUUGCUCUCCUUUUUACUAGGGUGAGUGGCUGGGCUAGAAUAGUAGUGACAUACAGAAACCCUAACCUGAGCUUCCCCCCUUUCUCUCUUCUCCUUCUUCUUCUUCACUAUUUUGCUGGAUCUCUGAAAAGCUGUGACGGUUCGUUCUUGCGCCACCCUGAAGCCGUGCCGACGGGGUGGACGGAGGUCGUUGUAUCGCUAGGAGUGAUUGCCGGCGCCUCGUACGUGGAGGGGCAAUCUUGCUUCUAGGACAGUGCAAUCGCACGCCUCGACUCACAGGCUCCAUCUAAUCCUUUAUUCUCUAUAGUUUUUAUUUAUUUCGUUCUUAAUCAACGUUUCUAAAAACAGUGGAUAAGUUGUUUUCAAACAAAACUGUUUAUACAAAUAUUUGACUAAAGAUUUCGAAAGAGAACUAGUUUUUCCAACAAAUUCUUCUUCUAAUCUGCGGCGAAGAGCAUAUCGCAACCGUCGUAAUAAUAAUGAUACAAAAAGAGCGCGCCUCUCGCUUCUUUCAUCUUACAACAACAUAUAUGAUCCUCUACAAGAGGGUCGUCAGGGUGCGCCAUCUUGAGGACAAGAGGGUCGUCGGGGUUGGGGUCGGUGAGGAGGGAGCAGAUGGAGAGAAGGACCUUCGAGAUGGUCAGCGCAGGGCUCCACUGCUCCUUGAGGAUGUCGACGCAAAUGCUGCCGUUCGAGUUGAUGUUCAGAUGUGAGUACUCUAAAAGCUUAAACUAUUAGAGAAUGGUGUUUAAACAUUUUUAUACUCUCGAGACUUUUUAAUCGGCCCAUGACAUGGACUUGAAUUAAAUGUGAGGAAAUUAAUAUGCUAGGAGCCCGGCGUGAUUCGAACUCAGGACCUCCUUUUCUGAUACCAUGUGAAACAACUAUUGUAUUCUAAAAAUUUAAGCUGUUAGAGAACGGUGUUUAAAUUUUUUUAUAUUUAACAGGAUGGUACACCUAACAUGAUUUAGUGCAUAACCAUAUUACUACUACAUUGACGGCCGGAGCCUGAGAUAUCCGCCUUUUGCCGCAAGCGAUGGGAGAGCUCCAGAGUGUGGGUGCAGGGAUGGGAACAGGCAUGCAUGAAUUUAUCUAAUUAUAAAAAAUUCCACCUCAUCAUAAUUCAAAAUAAUUUUAUAUUUGUCUGAUAUAUAAAAUACUUUAUGUUAUAUUUGAAUAUGUAUUUUAGAAUUUUAUAUUUAAUGUACUAUAUUUUAAAAUAUCGUAUAGAGAAAUAAUUAUUUCGGACUCGUAUUCGGAUUUUGAAUUUUUGGUCGGAUUUGAAUUCGGUUAUGAAUUCUGUAUUUGGUAGUCGGAUUUUAAUUCGGAUUUUUAAAAACCCGGCCCAGAAUUUGAUAUGUCGAAAUUCCUAGUUGGGUGUGGGAAUUUAAUUGUGUGUAGGAGUUUUCUAGUUAAGUUCAUAGUUAGUUAAUUCGGAUUCGGCAAAACUUUGGUACCGAUAUAACACGUAUAAAAUUCGUUUUCUAAUUUAUAAAUUCUUUGAAAAAAUUGGCUUAAAAAACGGAUUCGUUAUAAAGCAUAAAAUAUAAGAUAUAAAAUAUAGGAUAAUUUAUAUUUAAAAAUAAAAAUUAUAAGUUUUUUAUUCAUAUUUUUAAUAAUUCGGAAAUAAUUCGCGAAUAAUUCGGCUAGCCCAAAAAUUCGCGAAUAAUUCUCUUUCUUUGGAAAAAAUUCGUAAACGGACUGUUUAAUUCGGAUUUUCAAUAAUUCGCGAAUAAUUUGCGAAUCUACUAAACAGUAAACUAGGAAGUUUAUUUCUUUUUGUAUAUCGUUUCCAACGAUUGGGGUAUAUGAAUUGACGAUCCAAACAUUUUCUAGAAAAAAAUUCCCUAAAUGCUCUUUUGAGAGAUGUAAUUUUAUCAACGCCCCUCCAAAGUUCAGAGUAUCACAGAUACCCUCCUGAAAUAUUCUCAAACGCCCCUAUCAAUAAAACAAUUCUACAAAUUUAAUGGAUUAAUUCUAAAUUUCUAUCACAAAAUGUUCUCCAAUGUCUAUCUAGAAGUAAACCACAGAAUAAUUAAGCAUUACUUUUUGACUAGGAUGACAAAAUAAAAAAAAGUAUUGACGCUCCGAUUGGAUGCGCAGUUAUAAAAUUUUAAGUAGUUUUGUAUACUAUAGUUUUCAUCUAGAUGAAAUAAAAAAAAAAAUCUGUAACUCUGAAAAAUUCCAUGGUUUAAUUUUUAAUCUGUUUGAAUAUAUAUUGUACAAUUCUACUAAACUUCUACCAAUUUAAAAUUGACAUUUUUAAACUUAAAAUCUAGAUUUAAGAUUUAAAUUUUGAAAUUUAUAAUUUACAAGUUAUAAUUUAAAUUUUAAAAUUUUACUUUUUAAAAUUGAAAUUUUAAAAUUGAAAAUUUUAUCUCAAAUUUUAAAAUUUAAAAUUUGACACAACAUGGGGGGAGAGAGCCAAAGAAUGAUGGAAUUUUUUUUUUUUGUUAGGUUAGAGUAAAUUUUUAUUUUACUAAUAUGUAUAUUAUACUUCAAAAAUGAAGUAAAAUAACAAUAUACUCUAACCUUAGGGGAAAAAAUCCAUCAUUCUUAGUCUCUCUCCCCUCAUGUUGUGUCAANACACAACAUGGGGGGAGAGAGCCAAAGAAUGAUGGAAUUUUUUUUUUUUGUUAGGUUAGAGUAAAUUAUUAUUUUACUAAUAUGUAUUCUUUUGGUCCCUCAAACACUUCAUAGGAUAGUUUUCGAUCUGGUAUAAUAUAGUUUAACUACACUAUGGGCAUCCAAAUAGGGCAAAAAUAUGUCUCCUAAUUUUGAUUAUUAGAUUUCUAAAUUUUAUUAAAUAGUUCAAUAAACUCUUUUUCGGGAGCAAACUUUCUAAUUACAUAAUUAUUUUGGCCAGAUAUAGUACACAUAAUCCUAUAAGAUUUUAAAAUAUAAAUAAAUCUAAUUUUUCUCUACUAAGCUUCAUAAUUAAGCAUGCCCAUCGUAUAAUAGGCAAUUUUAUUUUUUUAUAUGUUAGAAUAAACAAAAAAAAAAUUUGGGGGGUUUUUGAAGCUCUAUAAAAUUACACACACAAGACGAAUUUUUUUUUUUUUUUUUGAGUAAACAGGGAUAUACCCAUUUGAGAUUUGUAGAACAAGAAGCAAAUAAGACAGAACCAAGAGAAACGACAACCCCAUUGGCCGAUCAUGGUCCCCUACUCAAAUGAACGAAAGCUAACUAAGCAAAAACAAAACAAAACUAGGCAAAAACACCACACCCCUUUGGCAGAUCAUGAUCCCUGACAUUAAGAGCUCAGCAAAACUGUAGCUCGAACCCAAAGCUGUCAAGAAAAAUAACAGGAAUAACAGAGAAGGGAAAGACUCAAUGUUUGGGAAGAGACAGCGGUCUCAGCUUGUGAAAGCCGAAGUCCAUAGUUUCACCGUAUCGAGGACCCCUUUCCCCAGUUCGUCGCUUCGGGUAGACCGAUCAUUGAAAAUUCUCGUAUUUCGCUGCUUCCAUAAUUUCCAGCACACUGCUGCAAAGCACAAAUCAAAGCAGGUUAAUUGCCGCCCCCUCAAAGACCUUCUAGAACAGAACCACCGAGUAGGUAAGUCGCCAGGAAUGUUCGACACCAGCAAUUGCUGUGAGUUAGAAGUACUUCGGUUGAUCCAAUUCCAUACAGCUCUCGCAUAGAUGCAGGAGAAGAGUAGAUGUUCAAGAUUCUCUUCAUGGUUUGAACAUAGAACACACAUUGAAGGGCCAAACCAGCCCUUCUUUACAAGAUUGUCGGCCGUAAGAAUUCUGUUCCGUGCUGCAAACCAGAGAAAAACUUUGACCCUCAGGGGGAUUUUAAGUUUCCACAGAUAAUUAAUUUUGCAAUCACUCACUCCACCAAAAAUAAGGAAAUCAUAAGCGCCCCGUACCGAGAACGUACCGUUAGAACUCCACCGCCAAAGAGCCGAGUCAUCCGAAACGGACAAAGUGGUGCUUUGGAUCAAUAAUUUAAAAUGCUGUAGCUCUGCUUGUUGCUCCGGAAGGCAGAGGAAAGCAUCGAAGGCCAGGUUGACGCAUUCUUUGAAUCGGCGAAGCCAGUUGUCGAUCGAGAGGUGUUUAAGUUUCGAAACAGCAUACAAAUUGGGGAAUUUGAUCCUCAGGGCACACUCACUGCUCCAUCUAGUAUUCCAAAAUGACGUCACCUUUCCAUUACCAAGGGAAAAGGAGACCGAAGCGAGGAAGGGUGCAGCAGUGCUUAAAAAACCUUUCCAAAUCGGGCUGCAACCAUUGUAAGGAAUACGAUAGCCGAGCGAAGGAGGCCUGUGCUUAUAGUGCUUUUGCAGGAGAAGCUGGACCCAAGGCAGAUCCUGGGAAUUGAAGAAAUUCCACAGGCUCUUCAUAAGCAAAGCUGAAUUCAUAGAUGUUAGGUUUCGAAUGCCCAAUCCUUCAUAUUGUUUAGGGCGACACACGUGUUCCCACAUGACCAGGCAGUGAAAAUCAUUGUUUAAUUUUCUGCCCCUCCAAAAGAAAUCACGCCGCAAUCUGUCUAAGGAUCUAACGACCUAAGAAGGUAAGAGAAAGGAAGAGCAGAAAUAAGAAGGAAUGCUAGUAAGAACCGAAUUUAGGAGGACGAGACGACCCCCCUUUGAGAGCAUCAGGCCCUUCCAACCGGCGAGGUGGUUGUCGAUCUUCUCGAUGAGCGGCAUGUAGUCAGCUCUACAUAGUUUCAUCGGGGAUAGAGGCAAACCCAAAUAAGUUAUUGGGAAAUCCUUUGAGGAGCAACCAAAAGAGUUUGCCACAGCCAUUGCUUGCUCGGUUGGCAAAUUGAUCGGGAUGAGGGUGCUUUUGUUAUAGUUUAUUUUGAGCCCCGAAUUCGAAGAGAAAGUAUCGAGAAUAAUCUUGAUAGCCGCUGCAGACCUGGUUGAACCAUCGAAAAAAAGCACAAUAUCGUCAGCGAAUUGUAACGUAUGAAGCGCAACAUUCCCGACCCCGACGGCCGAUAUCGAACCAGAGGUAACUGCUAAAUGGAUCAUUCUAAAAAACACAUCAACACAAAGAAUAAAAAGUAGGGGAGAAAGAGGAUCCCCCUGGCGAAGCUCCCGUUUGCAGGAGAGAGUCUCGCCCGGGAUGCCGUUGAGAAGAACUGCAGUAUUAGCAGAUUGCAAUAGGGCUUGUAUCCAACCGAUCCACCUGCUACUGAAGCCCCUCGCCUUGAGGAGGGAGAGAAGAAAACACCAAUUAAUGUUGUCGAAAGCUCGCUCAAAGUCGAUCUUAAAAAGUUUCGUUCCUUGGAGGAAUGAAGAUGAUGGACGAGGAUGUGAGCGCUGUUGAAGUUGUCGAGAAUAAAGCGACCCUUAAUGAAAGCUGCUUGGUAGGGAUUAAUGAGUUGAUUCAUCACCGCCUGGAGUCGGGUAGCCAGAACCUUCGAAAUGAGUUUGGCCACGCUAUGCACAAGACUGAUCGGGCGAUAAUCUGCUGCCGAGGAGGCAUCUUUUCUCUUUGGUAGAAGACAGACCCAGCCGGUGUUGAUUACCUGCAGGUUAGCCGCGCCAUUGUAGAAAUAAUUGAAAACAUCCAGAAUAUCAUCUUUGAUUAGGUUCCAGAACCGCUGAUAGAAGAACAUAGGUAGUCCAUCGGGUCCAGGUGCCUUCUCCGGGGCAGAAGAGAAAAUCGUCCUCUUCACCUCAUCCAGAGUAAAAGGUAAAUGGAGGCAAGAGACAUCCACACACUUGCUGCUGUAGAUCAUCUAGAGAUUGAUAGAGUCAGAAGAGACCUGCUCAACACCUAGUUGAUUGGAGAAAAAAGAGAACAAAUGGUUAGCUAUGGUCUCGUGGGAGGAGAGGGUGGAGGUUCCGUCGGACAGGCGAGCAAUGUAAUUUUUGUUUCUGCGGUGGUUGGCUCUGCUAUGGAAAAACUUAGUGUUGGCAUCCCCCGCUUUUAACCACUGCACUCUCGAUCUUUGUUUCCACUUUAACUCUUCUUGCAGGCAUAAUUCUUCGUAUCUUAGCUAUAACUUCGGCCUAAGAUUGCGUUCCGAAUCAGAUAAUACCCUGCCCUCCUCUGCACGGUCCAGCCACUCGAUCCACCUUAGACAGCAGUUAGUUUGAUCUCUGAUAGUACUCGAUAGGCCCACACUCUAGGACCGAAGGGCAGAUUGGAUGCCAAGAAUUUUUGAAGAAAAACGAGAUACCGGAUCAGGCUCAGUCGCAGGGGCGUUCCCUGACUUCCAUGAGUUGGAGACUACCUCUAUAAUAGCCGGAUAGCGCAACCAAAAGCGUUCAAACCUGAACAAGUUGGGAGAAAGUAAGAAAGUGUAAGCUGACAGGAUCAGAGGCGUAUGAUCAGACCGUGGUCGAGGAAGAGCACGUAGGGUGGAUCGGGGAAAGCAAGAUGCCAGUCACUCGAAACGAAGGCACGAUCCAGAUGCUUGAGUGUAGGGGAGCCCCUGCUAUUAGACUAGGUAAGUGUUUUGUUCAGAAUGGGUAGGUCGAUCCACUCGAUCUCAUUUACGACCUCUCUAAAAUUCAAGAUAUCACUAAUGCUCGAGGGCGAUCCAUUUUUGUCAAGCACAGAGAGAAGGACAUUGAAGUCGCCAAAGGCUGUCCACACACCUAGAGCGAGAUCACAGAGAUUCCGUAGCUCCUGAAAAAAUCCGACUUUAAGAGAAGGCAUAGUUGGGCCAUAUAUGUUAGAAAUUGUGAAUAACUUUUCAUCAAUCCUUCAGCGAAGCACCACAUUAAGCAAGUAGAGACAAGCCCAGUCUUGUACACAAUCAAAGAGAGCUGGAUUCCAAGCAGUUAAGAGCCCACCUCUAGUCCUUGCGGCGUCCAAUGUUCUAAACUCAAAGAGGUGAAAGUCACAGAAGGAGCGAAAUUUGUCAAGGGGUGUGGAAGCGAAUUUAGUUUCUUGGAGACAGACAACACAGCACUUGCAAUUACGAAUAACAGAUUUGACAAUAGUGCACUUAGCAGGGUCAUUGAGGCCCCUUACAUUCCACGACAAAAAUCGAAAAGAUCUAUGCCUAGCCAUAACGAAGAAGAAAAACACACCCAAAGAGGCUUCCAAAGAUUACACAUUCUUCGGAAAAGCCCCGCAGAAACUACCCCCAACUUUCGAGCAGGGAGUACCAGCGCCUUGGUCGACAAUUCCGCAGGAUGCCUUGAUCUGGAGAAUCUCCUCGGGAGAGAGAGGGAGCGUAAGGUCCCUCGACUUCUCCGUGUCCUCUUCGCACCCCACUAGCGGAUCGGAAGCCGCCCGGUGUAACCUAUCAGUGACUUGCUGUGGAAGGGGCUGAAGAAGGUGGUUCGCCGAAGAAGAGGUAGCCGAAGAGGAAGAACAGUUAAUGCGGGCGGCCUUGGCAGCAAACUUCGUUAAUUUGAAUUUUUUACACAUGAUCUCCUGAGCCUUCAGCACAGCAGAUUUUUUUUUUCCUUUAUUCUUUGCGGCGAGGCGCAAGCUUCUUCGAUAGCUAAGCAACUUUCCAGUAGUUAGACGUGACAGGCCGAGAGGAGUGGGCUGAAGGCCUGGGCGAGGAUCCGCGACCAAAGGGUUCGGCACACCAUGCUCCGAGGGCCUAGGGCCCACAUGAGAGAUAUUGUCGAUCAAAGGGUUGGGCUCCGCAGGAGUGGCAUCCACUAAAGAACCACACAGGUUCGGGCUGGGAGAAGGCUGGGCCACUUGUAGCUGAGAAGGUUGGGUCAGGCUAGAAGCAGGCGCUUGUAGAUGUGAAGGCUGAGCCGAACUAGAAGCCAACGUACUCCCUGCGACAAGCGAGUCAACCCGUACAGGAACCAGCGGACAAACGGGGUGGUUGCGUACCUUCCUGACAUGGACAGGACCACAGAUGGCAGCUUGAGUGUACGGCUCGAGAAGUUGUUUGCCCUUAGAAUUCAAAUUGAAAUGCUCGUCGGAGGUCAUCGGCGCCGGCGAUGCUCCAGUUCCAGUUCCCGACUAGGACAUUGCUCCGGUAUAUGCUGAGGCCGAUGAAGAGGCGGAUCAUGCUGCCGCCCGAUGGGUACGGAACUCUGCCGGGGGACCUGGGAAGUCCCCUGGUCCCCAAAGGUUGGAACGAAGCUGACGUCAGUUCUCCUGAUAAAAUCAUCCUGAGCCUCAACGAUGACUAGGCCAAGCCGCUCGUCGAUGUUCUCGCCGAGUAGAAUGGGGUUGGCGUCCUCGCACGAUUCAACCUCGACCGGAAUCUCAAAGCGUCGGUCCUCUACCAUCAAGUGAAUGGCCUCGGGGAUGUACCGAACGUGUUGACAACGGAUCCUUGCCCUGAAGAACGAGACGUCGAGAAGACUCUCACUGAUAGAAUCUAUGUCCCAGAGCUCUCCAAAGUUGUAGACUGCCGCUUUGACGUCCUCCUCGUUCUAGCAAAGGAUUGGCCAGUGGUGCAGCCGGAUCCACACUUUGUGGCGAAGGUGACCCCUCUCCUUCUCCCUCAUCUCCACCCAGUUAGAGAAGUAGAAGCCAAAGCCCUCAAACCAAAGAGGACUGCGACCGAUGGCCGACUCCCUCACCACCCAAUUGGGGAAGAAGACCGCCUUACAGGGAGCCUAGAAGGAGGCGACCUUGUAGUCCUCACUAGACCCCCCAAACCUGGACGCCAAACCGCGGGAUAAAAUCUCAUUGAAGUUGUGAGGUUGCCGGCCGGAAACCUCAACCCUCGCCACGCAACCCGAGAGCGAAGGUUGGCCCGCCAGGGAGGGGCCUAGAAGGGAGGAAGGCUUCCACAUGAUCCGGUCGAUUUGCUGAGGGGCCGAGCUCCAUGGUUUGACCAGGGGCAAGACGACAAAAGUUGCACGCCGCUGCAGAGUGGCCUCUUCUCAUGCAAAAGAGGCAACGCUUCGGCUCCCUGCAGCGAGCCGCUAAGUGGCCCUUCUCGAAGCACCUAAAGCAACGGUCUCGGAGGGAAGGGUUGAGGAGGAAUUUUGGGGGGCGAAGUGGUAAGGCAGGGUUGGAGAUAAAGGUGUGGGCUGGGUUAGAGACUUUAUGGGGUGGUAGGAUAAAAGGUGGGGCCAAAAUGGCAUCUUUGUAGGAGACAGAGGACCUAACGCGACUGUCCCAAAAAGACAGAGAUGGGAGUCCCUGUUUGCGAAGAGGGUGGCCCCCCCGUUUGGCAGGCGGGAAAAGGUGGGGGAGGCGAUGGGUGGGGGAGGCGAGAGGUAGGGAAGGUUUGGGGGGGUUUGGGGAAGUCGGAGCCAUAAAGUUUUUUCUUUUUACAUACGACGAAAAUAAAUGUGUGAUUAAUAAUAACUAUAAUUGAAGAGAGGGAUUUAUUGAACUCUUUGAUAAAGUUUAAGGGAUUCAAGUAUUGAAAACUUGAAGAGAGGGAUUCAAGCUCCGCUUCUAUUUAGAAAUAACAAAACUUCAGGGUUGUUAUAUGUUUUUUUUCCGUUUUAAAUUUAAGAUCUAUCAAUUAUAGUUGUGGAUAAAGUCUCUCAUCUGAUGAUGUUCAUCUACCAUCAUCUAUAAUUAUCAAAAUAAAUAUAUAAUCAACCAACAUAUGCUACCAAUAAUUAUAUCUUUUUUAAUCUAAAAUCUUCUAAUGAUAAAAUUAUUUUCAAACGUCACAAAAAUAAAGUUCUAUCAAAAUUUGAAUUUACGCACAUAAGUAGCAUAUUCUAUACAAUUCAUGCAACUAUAAAUUCUUUAAGAGACCAGUCAAAUAACUUAAAUCAAACAAAUUGAGAGGUUGGGUACUAAAUUCAAAGCUUCGAAAUGUUCAGCAAUCGAUUCAAAAUAGCCUAUGAUUCAGAUAAGUUUGUUUUAUACAUUUUGACCAAUCCAUCAGUUACUUUUGAAAUCUUUCGCCAGCCAUGCUACCUCCAAAUUUGAGAAUGCAAAAUCGAAAAAAAAAAGAAAAGAAGAGCUGAUCAUUAAAAUACUGACAUGCAGAAUAUCUCUGUAAUUAGAUUAGUGUAACCAAACACACAGGAGGGAGGAGUGAUUCCUUCGUGCAACAGUUAAACAAAAUCACCAGGUUUUGAGAGGCAUUGACUUGAAAGAGUAAUUACUAAUUAGCAUAUUAAGCAGCUUAGAAGGUAAAACCAUAAUAAUAAAGUAACACCAACUACUGCACAGUAGUAUCAUAAAAUAGCCAAAGACCAUGGUGAAGCAUCAAGAAUCAUUGAUCAAUUACGGCAUGCAACUACCAAUAUAAAUCCAUUUAAAUACUAGCAUCAUCAUUCUGCACGAAACAGAACAUCGUUCCAAUUUGUGGUGUUACAUUUUGCAUGAUGUAAUUGUAAGUGUAGAGUUAAUUUAGUUAGAACUUAUCCAUGAGGUGGUUUACUGCGAGUAAAAUAGCAACUAAGCGGAAUCAGAAGUUAAAACUGAGGAUUUGAAGUUAAUUAUUUGCGCAGAUGCUAAUUAAGUGAAACAAUAAUUAAGUGAAGCAACAAGUACAGGUGCUAAGUGACUCAACAGUACAUAUUCUUUAUUUAUCUCAACAUCUGAGGAACUACAAAGAAUUGAAGGGCUGCACUAUCCCAAAUGAGAAUUUCAGAGCAAAAAAAAUAAAAAAGAAAAGAAAAAUAAUAAUCGAAAGAAACAAACAAAAAAAAAAUUAAACACCACUCCAUGUCCGACCAAGUCGCAAGGAGAGCAAUUCGUCAUCAUCACCAUCAUCAUCUUUCCUCUCCGGCGCGUUCUUAGGCUCCUCCUCUGGCUCUGCCGGCUCAUUAUUAGGGAAGAAGUUGUGCAGACGGCAGGCUCCGAUGCCUCUCCCAUAAUCACGAGCGUCGCUCGCUUGCUCGGAUUGCGACAGAAGCGCAGGAUUAUGCGAUUCCAAAAAAGGCCCAUUGAAGUAACUCACAAUCCUCACUUUGCGCUCAGCUGCCGGGGCGGGCGUUUCCUCUCGCUGCUCGCGAGCUCUUUUCUUGUUUAUAAUAAUCAGCGGGCCCUCGUAGUGCUUCCUCAUGUGGCCGCCCAGCGACUGCCCCGUCGCGAACGUCCUCCCGCACUUCUCGCAUGUGUGGGCCCCGCUGCCGCCUGCGGCAGAGCUGCCACUGCUCCCCUUCUUUUUCGAGCUCGUUCCCUUUUUCACGUCAGACACUGUUCCAUUGCGCGCAGCGAUGAUCGCGCCCGCCGCCACCCCUGCCCCUGCCCCUGCCCCUGCAGCGACGACGCUGAUGUUCGCUGGUUGAUUGAACCCGUCUUUCAUGAUAACUUCCCCAUUGCCGCCGCUGCCGCCACCAGCAGUCCUAUUGUCUCUAGUGAUUUUAUUCUCACUGCUACCACUAUCAUCACCUUGCGGCCGCUGAGGUGACUUUUCCGCAACAAGCAAGGCCAUAUGGGGAUCAAGAAGCGUGUGCUCGUGUGUGAUUGUGUGUGUGAGAGCGCGUUAGUGUAAACUAGAGUUUGGGAGUGUGGAAACGAAGAGAGAAAGAGGGGUUUUAUAACAUAUAUAUAUAUUUCCAUAUAAUUCCAAUUCUACUCUGACUAGUAGAAAUCAAUAAAAGAAAAUUCUAUUUGAAUUGCAAUCCUAAUUGUACUAGGAAUCGAGAAUUAAACUGCUCCCAAUUUCAAAUCCGCGAAUCCGCGUCCGUCUCUCCUCCGGGAUUAGGAUUAGGAUUUCACUCCGCGGCUGAUCGUUCUGCGCCAUUGCUCCAUCAAUCCUUCUCCUCCUCCUCCUCUUCUUCUUCGUCUUCUUCCUCGAUCCAUCUCCUCCUGCUUGUGAUCCUCCUCCACCGACGCUUCCUACGGUUAGGGUUAGGGUUAGAAUUAGGGUUUGGCUCGGGGGUUCGGUCGCCAUUAACGUCGCCAGCUCUGGUUUGGGUUGUUUGUGAGGGAGAGGGGAGGUUUUUUUAGUAGCGCGAAGCUCUUCUCGCUACAGUUCAGGGACGUCGAUGGUAUGAUAUUCGAAAUUUUAUGUGAAUCCGAACCCGAAUCCGAAUGAAACGGAUAUAUCUGAUACUAAAUAGACAUGAAUUCGGAUAUGGAUAUCAAAAAUAAAAAUCCAACGGAUAUAAAUUCGAAUAUGAAUUUUGACUGUACCCGACCAGAAUCCGACCCGAACCCAAAUUUAUUUUAUAUUAUAUAUAAUAUAUAUAAAAAUUUGAUGUUAUAUUUAAAUUUGUAUUUUAAAAUUUUAAAUUUAAUAUAAUAUAUUUUGAAAUAUUGAACAAAGAAAUAAUUAUUUUGGUUUCAAAAUUUCGGGUUCGGGUUUGGGUUCGGGUUCGGGUCUCAGAUUUUCUAUUGGGUUCAUGUUUAAAUAUGAAUUUUUAAAAUCCGUCGGGUUCGGAUUCGGAUUUGGAGUCGGAUUCGGGUUUUUGAAAAUCCAUCCCGAAUCUGAUUCUAUGACAUACGGUCGAGGUUGAGAUUAUUGCGCGCACCUGGUGCAUGAAGCACCCACGAUUUUAGGUUUUUUUUUUUUUUUUUUCGGAAAAGCAUCAUCAUUACUUUAUUCUCUGGGUAUGGUCUGUUCGAAAAAUAUAUAUAUAUAUAUGCCUUUACUGCUUAGACUUAUUUUUUACAGAUAAAAAUGUCAAAUAAUUACUCUUAUAAAAUUAAAAAUAUUCUACAGGCCCAGUGGUCUAAAAUCCCCAUCCCAAAUGUCAGUACACCGUUUGGCUUUGGAAAAGUGAUUUUGGAACAAAAAAUAAUUUCCGGCUUCUAAAAGUUUGGUAAUCACACUUUCAAAUUUUGGUUCUAAUUUUUAGAAUUAAUUUUCUGAUACUCGAAAACCAAUUCUUAAAAUCGAUUCUGAAUUUGGAUCCAAAAUUCAAAUUCUUAUUGUUUUGAUUUAGACUCAAAUUUUUUAAUUUAAAUUCAAAUUUUAAUUUAAAAAAUUUUAAAUUUUUAUUUAAAAUUCAAACUAUAAAUUUAAUAUCAAAAUUUAUAUAUUAAAUUUAAAAUUUAAAAUUAUAAGCUUUGGUUUUCCAACUACCAAUUUAAGAUUUUAAAAAUUUAAAUUUAUAAUUUAAAAUUUUAAUUUUCCAUAUUCCUUUUUAUUUCUCAUCAAAAGUAACACACGAUAGCAAAUGUAUCUCGAGUAAUAACACCACCCUUAAAAAAAACAAGGAAGAUCCCAAAAAAAACAAAAGAAUUAACACUCUUUCAACCAUAAACCUAGCAUUAGAAACACUUUCAGAAUUAAAGUAAAUUCUUAUUAUGUCAAGAUCAGAUCCAAGAGAGGAGGUUGAAACAAGAAAAAUCUUCGGCAAAACUACACAACACCAUCAUGCAAGAAAAGUCCAGAUUCAGAAGCUUACAACAUAACAACACACUGGUUCAGUCUUAAGGGUUGUAAUGUUAGGGAAGACACAUACAUAUGCCGUGCCUUCAAGAUGCCAAAUUCUUCUUCUAAUCUGUGAAGAGUAUAUCACAACCGUCGUAAUAAUAAUGAAACAAGAAGAGAGCGUCUCUCGCUUCUUUUAUCUUACAACAACAUAGCCGUCUACAAUCUUAUCUUACAGAGGUUUUGCUUUGUCGGGCUCAGCCCAUAGCGUACUUCUGGGUCCAAGCACGAGCUGUCUCCUCAUAGCGGGACCGCUGGGUCUUGUAGAGGUGCGCGAUCUCGGGGACGAGAGGGUCGUCGGGGUUGGGGUCGGUGAGGAGGGAGCCGAUGGAGAGGAGGACCUUCGAGAUGGUCAGCGCAGGGCUCCACUGCUCCUUGAGGAUGUCGAGGCAAAUGCUGCCGUUCGAGUUGAUGUUCGGGUGGUACACCUAACAUGAUUUAGUGCAUAAUCAUAUUACUACUACACUGACGGCUGCUGUCAGAGCAAGAUUACUCCUACAGCUCAUACUGCUUGUUUUUGCCUUGGAUGGGACUUGUACAUAAGGGCUGUUUGAGUCGAGCUGUUUAAAAAGCAACUACAUUUUUUUUGAAAAAAUAUAUAUUUAGCAUUGCAAAUUAUUUCGACAGCUACACUUUGAAGCAACCAGCAGAAGCUUUUUAGUGCCCAUUUGGUCUUAAGCUUCUUUUUCUGCUACUUUCAACACAUAUAAUAAUGUUCUGCAGAAUGAAGAAUACGGAAGCAAAAAUGGACUUUUUGCUUCUACUUUUGCUUUUGUUGUAUUGGAAAGUUAAAAUGAACUUAUAAGCCUGAAAGCUGAAGCUUCAAUGUUGAGUUUCUGCUUCUCCUGCAAGAAGAAGUUGUUAGAGGGAGCUUAAAUGUAAAAGCUGUAGGGUUUUUCCAACAAAGAGGCAAAAUGGAACUUCUACUUUUGAGAAGCACAUUAUGGCUUUACUAUACAGUCAGAAGAUCUGAUUUUGGUUUGCCAAAUGUCUACCUUCUGAUUUUCCAAUUCUCGAGUAAAGAAAAUAUUCCAGAAGUCAGACCACAUAGCCAAAACACUAGGAUAUUGCACUAAAAUAAUACGUAAGAACAAAUUUUCCAGUAAACUAUAGAUAUUACACUUGUGAGUAAUUUAAACAUCAAUAACAUUAUGGCAAGUUGAGAAAAAGUUGGCGCUGUAAUUUGGUGACAAAUAUUAAACAAAGGAAAUGCAUCAAUCAUGGUUUUCACAAAUCACGCUGGAUACUACUUAAAAUGCAUGCUACAAAUAUAUGGCCCUUUUAACUGCUUAAAACUGUAAAAGACAAGGUCCAUCCAACUUUCGAUAGUUUGAGGACAGUCAAUAGGUCAAAGCAAGUGCAUCAGAAAGUCACAACUUAAAAUAGUUUCACUUCAAUUAUCACCCAUUAUCAAGACGCAAAAGAUAAUAUCAACUAACCUGAUGAAACCAGCAGCAAUUCAAGGAAUACUCGCAAAAGACCAGCUUAGUUUUAAUAUAUAAAUAGUUCGCCAAGGUCAAACAUAAGUGCUUCCGCCAUGAAUUCCAUGGCAUGUGUGAUUCGUUACGGAAGCCUUAUUUGAAUUAUUCUUAGAUGGCACAUGAAAAAUUAAUUAGGAUUCCUCCAAUACAAAUUAACUGCCUAUUAGAUUCCGCAGCUUUGAACACACGAGGGACCGGAAGAGGCAGUGGAGUUUAAAAUAGGUGAAAGCAUACAGAUCAUACCCGAUCUCUAACACAUUUUGAAAGAAGUACCUGAACUUAAUAUAUUCUGAUUAUACUACCUAACCUUACAUAAUUUUUUGUUAGACUUCAUAAAAUAUCAAAUGUUUUCAUUCUACUACCAACCCUACAAUGUUUGUAACAUUUUUUGACAGCAUAUUUCGAAAUACUCUGUUGACAGUAGUCCAAAUACUGUUACAUUAGGUAAUAGAACAAAAACGUUUUUAAAAGUCAAAUAUCUAUUAAAGAAAAGGAAAAAAAAACUGUAAGGUUGUGUAGUAAAUUCAGAGUAUUUAAAGUAGAGGUGCACUGUAGUUCAGGUAUGGCCUGUAUUGUCACCGUUAAAUAUUCAUAAACAAGCAAGCAAGCAAGCAAGCAAAUGCAAGGGUUCAUAGGUAAUAUGAUUGAGUUUUGGUCAUUAGGAAUGUUUCACAGCAGCUCUCUAGGCCUUGUGUGAUUAGGAAUUAGUAUCCCUUCACACGCACCCACAAUUAAUUUGGUUAGAUGAGGUGCAUGCAUGCAAUUUCCGAGAAAAGGAGGGCAAGUAAAAUAUAUAAGCAUAAGAACAAGAGUCCUGUUACCUUGGUCUGGAAGUUGACCUUAGGAGGCUUGAAUGGAUAAUCAGGAGGAAAAUGAAUCUUGAUGAAGAACACCCCACCGGCAUAAGGGCUAUCAGUGGGUCCCAUUAUUGUUGCCUGCCAAUGGAAUAGAUCCUCUCCGACAGGUCCAGCGCUGCACGAAGUUGGAGGAUCUUUUUGCAAAUCCAACAAUUCCUUCUGAAUCCUUUUGCUAGCCAUUACCUCCUGAUUUCAAACAGAAAACGAAUCAAAGAGAGAGACAACUUAACCAUGCACAUAAAAUAUGUGCCUGAUAAACUUAUUGUUAUCAAAUGUUCUCUUUUCUUUCUUUUCUACUAUUUCGGCAGCACGUUUAGAUCUACAGUUAUGACAUGCUAGAAUCAGUGUGCUUCCAAGUAUAAGAUAAAGAAGAAAGAAGAAAGAAGAAAGAAUAAAGAAGUAAUUCCAGAAGCAAGUUGAACCAGCACAUCUGCAAGUAGGACAAAUUACUAUUAGCUAAACCAAAAUUAACAAGAUUUUAGAGGCAUUGAGUUGAAGAGUAAUUACUAAUUAGCAUGCUAAGCAGCUCAAAAGGCAAAAAUAUAACAAAAAAGUGAAGCCUCUUGUGAGGGAAGAACUCUGAUAUUCAUUAUAGUACUAUAUCAUAAUUUAGUAAAGGAUUAUAAUGGAACAUCAAAGUUAGUUACUUAAAACAUUCAUCUACAGUUAUAAAACUGGUUAAACAAGUGAUGUUUUAUGCGCUUCCGAGAUCACAUGUGCAAGCAACACAAUUGUUAGACAAUUCUGGUAUUACCAAGGUAUAAAUUAGAGCUAUCAAUAUAGCUCGCAGUUUUGAAGCCAGCUCAUGUUCGACUCAAUAUUGACUUGAACUUGGUUCGUUCGUUUAUUAAACGAGUCGAUCAGAAGCUCACUUUUUCAUCUCAAGAAAUAAACGAGCCGAACACAAGCUAGCCCCUACUCACCUGUGCUUAGCUCGACAUAGCUCGAAAAUAAAUACUAUAUAGAGAGAGAGAGAGAGCUAUGCUUCUAUGCUUUCGAAAGUACGGAGGCCUCCGUGCUUGUAAGUUGUUUUCGAUGAUGGAUAAUUCGAUUCGGCGAUCGUCUCUGUAAGACAUGAUCUACGCUAUUGGAACUAUUUAGAAACCAAAUUUCAUAAUUUUUUAACUUAAUUUGCCUAGUGAACGAGUAGCUUCAAAAUGAACGGCUGAAAAUAAAAAUCUCAUAAAAAAUAGUGAUAAAAGACAAAUUUUAAAUCGGAAGUAUUGUUCUUGCUCUUGAUAUUAAGUAGAAUUUUCAAUUAAAGUUUCAUGUAAUUUGGAUUCUUCUACAUCAUUGAACUUACAAACGUGCCACAUUGGCCGUUAAAAUAGUCAUUUUUUAGACUCUUUGAUCACUUGGUAAAUUAUGUCGAAAAAUUAUGAUUGGUUUCUAAAUUGUUCUAAUAGCAUAGAUCAUGCCUAAUGGAGCCGAUUGCCAAAUCGGAUGCCCUAUCAUUAAAAACAACUUACAAGCACGAAAGCCUCCGUACUUUCGAAAGAAUAAGAGACGUACUCUCUCUCUCGCUCUCUCUCUCUCUCUCUCUAUAUAUAUAUAGAGAGAGAGAGAAAGAGAGAGCUAGGCUGGUAUACUAUCGGUAGCACGGAGCCCUCCGUGCUACCAAGUUGUUUUCAAUGAUGCAAUUUCCAAAUCGACGAUCGGCUCCGUUAGACUUGAUCUACACUAUUGAAAGUAUUCGUAAACUAAAUUUCAUAAUUUUUCGGCAUCAUUUCGCUAGUGAUCAAAAGGUCUCAAAAUUGAUAAUUUUAAUGGUAGAUGUGAUACGUUUGUGAAUUUAACGGUGUAAAACAAUCCGAAUCUGACGAAAUUUUUAUAAAAAAUUCUUUUCACUAUUUAGAGUAAGAUCAGUACCUCAGGUCUUAAAUUCAAGCCUUUUAUCAUCAUUUUUUAUGAGGUUUUUAUUUUCAGCCGUUUAUUUUUAGACUACUCGUUUGAUAGGUAAAUGAUGCCCAAAAUUUAUAAAAUUUAGUUUUCAAAUACUUUCAAUAGUGUAGAUCAAGUCUAACAGAGCCGAUCGUCAAUUUGGAAGCCGCAUCAUUGAAAACAACUUGAUAGCACGGAGGGCUCCGUGCUACCGAUAGUAUACCAGCCUAGCUAUAUAUAUAUAUAUAUAUAUAUAUAUAUAUAUAGAGAGAGAGAGAGAGAGAGAGAGAGAGAGUAGGGCUACUAUACUCUUAUGAGUAUAGAGUCCUUCGUACUCAUAAGUUAUUUUCGAUGUUGGGGUUUUCGAAUCGACGAUCCACACCGUUAAAUAUGAUCUAGAGUAUUUGAAACUUCUAGAAAAUAAAUUUCGUAAUUUUUUGAAAUCAUUAUAAAGUCCAUCAAGUGGGUAUAAAAUGAACGGUCAAAAUCGAACGACAUCCUAAAAAUGGAUGAUCGGAUCCUUCAAUUUAAGAUCGGAGUUAUUGAUCUUUAUUUAGAUAGUGAAUAAAAUUUUCUAUCAAAAAUUCAACCUAUUCCGAUUCUUUUUCACCGUUAAACUAGCAAAUAUUUCAUACCGGCCGUUAAAAAUUGUCAAUUUUGUGAGCUUUUGAUCAUAAGGUAUAUGAUAUCGAAAAUUAUAAAAUUUGAUUUCUAGAAGUUUUAAAUGCUCUAGAUAAUGUUUAACGGUAUAGAUCGUCGAUUCGGAAGCUCUAUCAUCGAAAACAACUUAUGAGUACGAAGGCGAUCGUACUAAUAAGAGUAUAGUAGCCGGACUAUAUAAUAUAUUAAUUUUGAAUUGAUAUGUAGCAAAUUUAAAUACUAUUUUAAGUUUUUAAUUUUUUUAGCAUUACAUUAACAUUAACAUUUUAAUACUAAUUAGUAAUACUAAGAACAAAAGCAAGCAUCAAUAAUAAUAAAUUACUAAUUAUACUAAUUAUAGUUAGUAUAAAGAUUUUAUAAAAGUAUAAUUAAAGUUGGCUCGAAAUAACUUUGAGCAAGAUCAAAUUAAUUUCAAGCUGAAAACGGGCUGGAUUAUGCCAUCUUAUUUUAGUUUCAAGCCAAACACAACUAGGCUCGAAUUAUUUUCGAGCUGAUCUCGAGCUAGCCCCAGGUUGCUCAUGUUUGGCUCAUUGAAUGUUGUAGUUCAAAUUAUUAGAUUCUUCAAGAAAUACAAAAAAAAAAGGAGAGUAUAAGCAAAACUUGCAUUUCUUUAUAUAUUUUACACCAUUUUCAAAUACACGUUGAAAACAAUAUUGAAACUCCAUGAUGUUUAUUCAACAAAAUAUGCAAAUUAUUAGAUUGAGGCAUGAGUAGGGUUGUGCUCCGGGCUAUCCGGCGAGACCUAGAUUUUCGGGCUGGUUUGGGCCACAAAGUGGCCCGGCCCAGCCUGGAUUCUAAUCAGGGCCAUGCCAGGCCGGGCCACCUUUUUUUGGAUUGUGGCUCAACAUGGCCCAUGGCCCGGAUCAGGCCGGGCCUGAAAAUGGCCUAUUUAACUAUAUUUUUCAUUUUUUUUAUUUUUAUAUUUAAAUUUUAUUUUUGAAAAUUUUUACUACUGAUUUUAUAAAAUAUAUAUAGUUUUUUAUUAAUAAAUAAGUUUUAGAUGAAUUUUUAGAAAAAUUAUUUGAAAUUUAAAUAAUUUAAAUUAAUAUUUGAAAUAAUACAUACAAAAAAAAAUUAAAAAAAUGCAUUAGAAAAAGAAAUAAAUAAAUAAAUAAAUGGCCCAGCCUGGUGCUUACUGCUUAGGCCCAGUCCAAAAUGGACCAGGCCACACCCAGCCCUGUGGCCCAGCACUGCCCACAUUUGGAUGUGGGCCGAGCCGUGCCGGGCCACCGGUCAACAAGUUGCAGCCUAGCAUGGCUCGCACCACCAGGCCAGGCUGCAGGCCGACUGCAAAUGGGCAAGCAUGGCUCGCAGUCGGGCUGGUUUUACACCACUAGGCAUGAGUAAUCUAUAACUCACACAUAUUUUUCCAUCAAUAAUUUGCUUUCGGCAAAAUUUUUAGCCUGCUAGAUAUUCACAAAUUAUUAAUAAACUAACUAAAGGUUCUGUUCUGACAGUGCCACCUUAUUGGCCAUCAGCCUUCUCACUUUAAUUCUUUUUCCCCCUUAUCAUUUAAACCAUUUAUUUUCCAAUUUGUUAAGCAUGUAAAUAUCAUGGCGCUGUAUUGAUAAGAGUUUGCCAAAAUGGAAUUGAGUUUCAGCUCAUUUGGUCUCUUAACAAGCUAGCAUCAACAUAUAAUGAGAAGAUGUCAAAGGAACUGCUCUCAAUCGCUCUCUAUAAUCAUCUAGCAGCUGAAAUUAAUAAGCAACUAUCGAUGUCCAGUUACUUGCACCAAUAUUUGAUUAGAUUGACCUCUGAAGAACACUGGAUCUCUGAAAAUUAGGCAUAUAGGUUGCAUAGAUUGGUAUGCUAACAUUAUCAACUGCUUAAACUACACUAAAAUUUUGCAUCAAUGGUGGUAAAUGAGUCCUAACUUCACAUUUUACCUUGUGUAUUCACAUCAAUAACCCCACACCAUCAAUAAUCCAUCAUCAUUAGGUUAACAAUUCUCAACAGAAAUUAAUUAAUUUGGCUUACGAGCAUCUGGCUUUUGGCCUCAGACCAAUCCAAUCAAGCAUUCAAAGAAUCACACAGCUUCUACAAACCCAACUGGUUAAUAUACUCCUCGUCCGAAACUUCUCUAACAUCAAAUUAAUGCAAAAAAUCCAACAAAUUCAACAAUAUGCGUACGAAAAGAAGGACUCCAAUCCAACAAACACUAACCAUAUCUCACCAAAUCGGUUCUUCUACUCUUAAAUUCAUCACAACGGGAUCAAUAAACAAGAAACAAAAGGUAAUUUAAACAAAAAAUCCUAAAACUAAACAACCCAAAAAAAAAGGCACUCCGAUCCUAUAGAAACCCUAUGUAACCCUAAUCGAUCCGGAUCGUUAAGUAUGGAGCUGGAUUUAGAGAAGAAGAAGAGGGGAUUCUCUUACCGAUUAUGAGAAUCCGAUAGAGGGGAGGUCGAUAAUGGCGGAUUAGGGCUGGAUCUCUCUCCUCCGCCACCGAGAGAGAGAGAAAGAGAGAGAGAGAAUUAGGGCGCAAAAACCGGUGGGAAAAGGAAGGGGAAGGGGAAUAAAUAGCGGGUCAAAAUGCGUGGAGACCCCUCAACUAUACUAAAUUUACAAAUAAGUAUCUCCAUUUAAAUUUGUUUUAUCUUAUACGCCAUUAUUUUUUCAUUUUUAUUUGAGAUUUUUGAGUUGUGAAUAAAAUUAUUAAAUUUGGUGAGAUACUAAUAAAUUCGAUGAAACUUUUUCAUUAAUUAUAUUAAAAAAUGUAAAAAUGCAUGGAGAUCCACUCAACUGUAGAUCAUUCCAAAAUAGCCCCCUCAACUUCUUAUUUUUUUAAUUUAAUUUUUUAUAUUUAGUUAAAGCUUAAAAUCUCACAAAACUUAAUGGCCUUAUUAGUUAUUAAUUAUUAAUUGACCCAGUUUUAUUUGCCAAAAAGUGGUUAAAAUCAUUAAAUUGGGUAAAAUCACUGUGAAUUUGAUAAUAUUUUCAAAUUCUAUGGCUAAAAUUAUUAUAUUAAAGGAUUAAUUUCAUACAGGUCUCUACAAACAUAGUAAAUUACAAAUAUAUCCUUACAAAAUUCAACUUUCAUACGUUGUUUCUAUAAAAAUCUUAAUAUUUUCAAAUAUGUUCCUGCCGCUAGAAAAUUUUAGCUAACCAUAAGUUAAAUGCUUAACUCUAAUUAAUUUAUGAGAUAACUUGAUAUUUUUGCCUUUCUCAUAUUAAACUAUUUUGGUUUUUUGAAGGGACAUAUUUGUAAUUAAAAAUUAACAUUUUACUUAAAAUAUAUACAGUUCUAUAAACGAUAACAAAUCAGAGGGACAUACUUGAAAAUAUUAGAACUUUUAUAGAAAUAAUUAUAAAAGGUGAAUUUUGUUAAUAACAUAUUUGCAAUUCACUAUCUUUAUAGGGACAUGAAUGUAUUUAAUGUUAUAUUAAAAUAUUAAAAGUCAAGGGAUCACAAUCAUAAAAAAAAUAAUAAUAAUAACUAUGGGGGCUGUUUUAGAAUGGUAUAUAUUUGAGGUGAUCUGUGUACAUUUUUACAAUCUUUUUUCCUUAAUUUAAUUUUUUUUAUUUAAGUUUUUCUAGUUAGUUAAAUAAAAAAUAUUAUCAAAUUUUAUAGUUUUACUCGCUAAAAAGUGAUUAAAGCUAUUAAAUUUAAUAAAAAAACACUCACGACUUUACUCAAAACUUUUCAUUUAAUUAUUAAUUUAAAAAAAAAAAGAAGUUGAGGGACAUGUUUCAAAAUAAUCUAUAGUUGAGGGGGCUUUAUACACUUCUUGCCUUUUGACUUGACCCGGUUUUGUGUGGUCCCAUUCUCCCAGCCCAGAAGAUUCCAAUGGAUUAGGGCGUAGACCAGGUCCACCACGUCAGCUAGACAGGACCAAUCAAAGUACCUCAAAGUGCGCAUUUGGUUGUAAAUUAUUCGGUGCACAUAGUGUACCACGUAAGCGACGAACCGAACGUGUAAGAUGCACACACGUUGCUUACUCCCAUUGGCAGUGGCGUUUUAAUGAUUGAUUCACAUACCUGGUCUAUAGACCCGGUCCAGGAAAUAUCUCCACACUCUCGCGGGUUACAGUUUCUUGGGUGUUUAUAUAUAUAUAUAUAUAUAUAUAAAAUAAUUUUUAAAAAAGGGAUAAUUGCGUAAAUAACCCCGCGAAGUGGAGAUAUUGCAUAUUAACCUCUAUAAAUUAUAAGAUAUCUUAUAUAUCCCUACAAAAUUUAAAAACUUACCAAUAUGUGCGUAAAUUGAUUAUUUUGUCUUUAUUUUGAUCCGCCGUGGCAAUCGUUUUCAAUGAUGAGAUGCAACUCUAUCAUCUUUUAUUAGUAAAUUAAAAUUAUUUAAUUUUGCUUAGGUUUCUUUAUAUUAUCUAUAAUUGCAAACAAGGACAAAAUAAUCUUUUUUUUAAGUAAAAUAUAAAUGUCUUUUAACCGGUCAAUGAAAGUAUUUGUCAAAUUUCAAAGUCUUGCAGGGCAUAUUUUUAAUAUUUAAAGUUUGGGGAGACAAACAUACAAUAUUUCUUUUCUUUUUUUUUUCUGAAUUCAAUAUAAUAAAAAAUUAAAUACUAACACACAAAUUUGCGUUGAGUUAGAAUAAUUCUAAGGGGUUAUUUAGUUGCACGUAACUGUAAAUUGUAUUGCAAUUGUAGCCACUCAGGUGUUUAUUUUGAUGCAUUUAAAUUUACUGGUGCAAUUACAGUUGUACGAGUAGGCUCAAUUACAAUAGUUGAAGCUUGCGCUCGAAUUUGGCCACAGUUUCAACUACAGCACUUGGAGAGGAAUAAUUAUUACUGAAGAUAAACUUAUCUUUCUAAUGACUUUUGUAAAAAUUCGUAAAUACAACUUCUCAGCCGAAUGCAACCAAGCAAGUUAUUUAUACAUGCAACGCUUCCUGCUACAUUCAACCAAAAUAAAAUGCGUAUAAUUAUAAAUACUGUAUUUUCAACUGCAUUUAUCUUCAAAUGCACUGCAUUUAUAAGCAUGUCAAACCAAGGAAGCCCUAAAAGGAGUCUAGCUACUAUUCUUCUAGGAGGACAAAAGCCUUCACCCUCCUAACUUAUUUUAGAUGAUAGGAAUCUCGAAUCGAUGAUCAGAACCAUUAAAAUUGAUCUAAAAUAUUUAUAAUGUCUAGAAACUAAAUUUUAUAAAUUUUAAAAUCCGUUAUCAAAUUCAUUAAAGAGUCGAGAAAUGAACCGUCAAAAAUGAAUAAUCUUGUGAAAAUACAUAUUAGACUUUUUUAAUUCAUGAUCGGAAUUAUCAAAAAUUCAAGUUGUUUAGAUUAUUCUCCACUGUUAAACAAGCAGACGGCUCAUGUAGGUUGUCAAAAACUGUUGAUUUUGCGAUUUUUUUUUAUCACUAUGUAAAUAUUUUUUAAAAUUCAUGAAGUUUAGUUUCUAGAUACUUUAAAUAUUCUAAAUCAACUUUAACAGUUUCGAUCAUCGAUUUGAAAUUUCUAUCAUCUAAAACGACUUAGGAGGAUAAAGCCAUCCGUCCUUCUAAAAAGAUAGUAGAUGUAUUUCCCUAUAAAAGUUUUUUUUUUUUUUUACCCACUUUGUUUAUUUCAUUUAGAAAUAAAUUUAACUGAAAAUGUGAAUCAACUAGAAUUUGAAUCUGGAACUUCGGGUACCAACCACCAACCCUGAAAGUUUUAUUAUUUGCAUACUUCUAACUCUUUUUUUCCAUUUAUCUCUAUUAAAUCUUAGGCAUCUAAGGGCUAUGGUCCAUGAGUGGUUGAAGGGCAUGAAUAAUAAUACUUUUGGAAGUAUCCCACCAAAUAUUAAACAAAUUUCUAAUAAGAAGGAUUUUGUGACAACUAAAAGAUAUGAUUAUUCUCAAUUGAUCGAUCCUUAUCCAAAUGUCUUUAUCAGAAAGAGUUAAGCUUUGUAUGGAUAUGGAGGUUUUUUUUUUUUUUUUUUUUUUUUUUUUUUUUUUUUUUUUUUUUUUUUUUUUUUUUUUGUGGAUGGUGAAAUCAACCAAACACAUGAGUUUAGUAUCCUACGCCAGAACAAGUUUAGUUUAUAAGGUCCCCUUCACAGUGUGAUCAAUGCUAUAUGUAUAUUUAUAUAUAGAGAGCUAGGCUCUCGCUCUUUCAAAAGCACGAAGAUCUCUAUAUUUAUAAGUUGUUUUUUAUGAUGGAACAUCCGAUUCAACGACCGACUUUGUUAGAUAUGAUCUAUGCUGUUAGAACUAUUUAGAAAACAAAUUUCAUAAUUUUUUCAUUUUGUUUAUCUAGUGAACGAGCAACAUUAAAAUAAACGGCUGAAAAUAAAAAUCUCAUAAAAAAUAAUAAUAAAAGAUUUAAAUUUUAAAUCAAAAGUAUUGUUCUUGUUCUUAAUAUUAAGUACCAUUUUCUAUUAAAGUUUUAUAUAAUUUGGAUUCUUUUACACCGUUGAACUUACAAACGUGCUACAUCGGCCGUUAAAAUAAUCAUUUUUAAGACCCUUUAAAAUAAUCAUUUUUAAGACCCUUUGACCACCUGGUAAAUAAUAUAAAAAAAAUAUGAAAAUUAGUUUUUAAAUAGUUCUAACAGCGUAAAUCAUACUUAAUGGAGCCAAUCAUACAUACAUGAACUAUAGAGUAAGUCUCAUAUGCUUUCGAGAGUACGGAGGCUUCCGUACUUACAAGCUGUUUUCGAUGAUAGGAUAUCCGAUUCAAUGAUUGGCUUCGUAAAAUAUGAUCUACAUUAUUAGAACUAUUUAGAAACUAAAAUUAUUUAGAAACCAAAUUUUAUAAUUUUUUGACAUUAUUUACUAAGUGAUUAAAGGGCCUAAAAAAUAACUAUUUUAAUAGCCGAUGUGGUAUAUUUGUAAGUUUAACGGUAUAAAAUAAUCCAAAUUAUAUGAAACUGCAAUAGAAAAUCCUACUUAACAUUAAGAGUAAGAAUAAUACUUUCGAUUUGAAAUUUGAGUCUUUUACAUUAUUCUUAUAAGAUUUUUAUUUUCAGCCGUUUAUUUUGAGAUUACUCGUUCAUUAGACAAAUGAAAUCGAAAAAUUAUGAAAUUUGGUUUCUAAAUAAUUAUAAAAGCAUAGAUCAUACCUAAAGGAGCCAUCAAAUUGAACGUCUCAUUAUCGAAAAAAAACUUAUAAUCACGGAAGCCUCCGUGCUUUUGAGAGAGAGAGGCUAGGGCUACUAUACUAUUACGAGUAUAAAUUCUUUUUUACUCAUAAGUUUUCGGCCGUUGGAUAAAAGGAUGUGCGAUUAGGAUAAUAGUAAUUCUGGAUUAGGUUGAUAAUGGUCCCCUAGGAUUAAGUGGGUAGUUGGUUAAAUAAUAUGAUCCAACGAGUAAAAAUGGUCAAAGGGAUAGAUCUAACCACCAAAAACUUAUGAAUACUAUAUAUAUAUAUAUAUAUAUAUAUAUAUAUAUAUAUAUAUAGCACUCAUAGGAAUAAAUGCGUCUACAGGGGCACAGGGUACACAGAUUGUGAAUUCAUAGCACUGACCAAUCACGUGUCAGAAUAAGCAGAUUAAUAAAUAUAUAACACAUACGGAAAUGUGACAUUUACUUGGCUUGGAUAUCAAAAUUACUGAAUCUACUCUUGUUUGUCGCAUUAGGAAACGACUCAGAAGUAGUUUGGAACAGUGUAACUAAACUGCAUACGUAAUUGACCAAAGUGAAAACAGUAGUUUCUGUUAUUAAAUGAUCAUAGAGUCAGGACUUUGGACUUUAAAGAGUUUUCGAAUCAAAUCUAUCAGAAAAUGUCAAAAAAACUCUUAACAAUAUUUAGCCAGUAAAUAAUAACCAAACUUAAUUAACAUUUGUUGUUACAAGUAUAUAUCCUCAGAGAUUGAUCUCUUUUGAAUAAUCGCAUGGAGAUCGAAUGCGCGUGUUUAUUAGUUUCAAAUUAACCUUUGCAUGAUCAUUUGGGUCGCAAUAAUGUAGCUCACGAUUGUUAGUAUAUAUUUCUGGGCUUAUUUUCUAGUAAAAGAUCUUUCUAAUAACAUAGCAUUAGAGUUGAUUCUAAACCUUUUUGUUCUGUAAAGUUGUGGAUUCAGUAUCUAACUACCUUUGGCAUUUAACAAGUUAAAGUUUCAUCUCAUAUCCUAUCUCACCUUUCAAUUUUAUGUGCCUACUACAUCCAUCGUGUACGUGAAUGAGAGUGUUAAUAUAUGUACGUUAACGAGAAUGAGGAGGGUACCUGCAAGGAGAGAAUGGGUAGGGGAGGUGGGUCAGGUUGGCGUGCAGCGCUCUCNAUUUAAAUUUCUGGAAUAACAAUUUAUAAACAUAGUGUGUGUUUCUCUGUAUAUAUAUAAAUAUAGUUUUAUAAACAAUUUCUUCUACUAUUUAUUUUUCUUUUAUUUACUGAUUUAUUUAAAUUAUUUGAAUAGAUUUAUCUCAAAUCUUUUUCACAUAAAUCUUUACAAAAUAAUUUAAUUAUUAAUAAACUGUUAUAUAAAUUUAUGUUGCACAUAUACCAGUUUUAAUUAUUUUUCUUUAAACAUAUUUAAUUAUUAAAUUAUUUUUAACAUAACUUUUACUUAAUCAAUAAUUAGACUUAUAAAACUAUAUAAAAUAUAUAUAAAUAUAAAUCAAAAUUUAUUAUUAAAAUAUUUUUAUAUCCGCAGCGUCGCGCGGGUCUUUCACUAGUGUGGCAUUAAUCUAAUAUAAUUCUUCUUUCUCUAAUUAUAUAAAUUUAAAAUAUAUAAAUUUUUAUACAUAAUUUUUAAAUAGUUUAAAUUUCAUGGCCAAUUUGCAUGAAAAAUUCACUAAUUUUGGGCUUUUGUAAAAGUUGACAACUUUUUUCGAUUUUGCAUAUUCAGAUUGAAAUUUCAGCAAACUAAUCAAAAUACCUUUAUUAUUUUUUUCUCUCGUUCUUUUUUUUUUCUCUCUCCAAAGAAGGCAGGGGAGGCGGAGGCGGAAAUAGCCCACCUCGCCUCCGCCUCACCUCCACCUCGCAGCCCUCGCCAGUGCACUCCAACCCUCCUCGCCUCCGACCCUACUAAGGCUGCGUCGCCACCUUCUUCUCCACUAGGGCACGACAACGUCGAGACGCAGGCUCUUCUCCUCCACCGCGCGUCAGAACGCCGAGACGUUGCCGGGGGCGGCGAGAUCGCCUUCGACAACGUCGCGUUGGUUGCGAUAGAAAGCAAGGGAGAGGUGAUGACAAAAAAAAAAUUAUGAAUAAUAAAAAAUAAAAAUUUAUUUUUUUCUACAGAAAAGAUCAAAAAAUAUAGGAGAAGAAAGAAGAUGAUGAAAUUGCACUCUUAAAAAAAAAAUUACACUGUUUAAAAAAGACUUGCACUGUUUUAAUAAAAAUUACACUAUUUCAUAUAGAAAUUAUACUUUUUAAAAAUAGACUUUACAUUCUUUAGGCCAGGAUUGCACAAGUUAUGAAAAUUUUGCACGAUUUAUGAGAAUUGUUGACUUAAAUAGAACAGUAUUCUACCCUAUGGCGUGAGGCUGGUUAGGCCGAGUCACAGUCGAGACACUGCACUAGAGAUAAUAAAGUUAAGGUGCAAAUAAAUAUGGUGGCAAAUGUAAGAGUACUAUAGGUCUAUAGGCUACUUGUAUGUAAGGUCAAUCUAUUGCCACGUAUCAUGGCAGCGAAAGAAGCGUCCCGAUCGAGCCCCAAAAAUUUGAACUCACACGCAACUUACACCAAAUUAAGCACGUUUCAAGGGGACUAAUACUAGAAUUCUAGUGGUCGUGAAUGUGCGAGGACUAUAUAUAGGCUAAUUAAUAAAUUGCACGUAAGGUUUAUUGUACUGUUACAGUGUCACGUAUCACUUUCAUAGUGCGACUACCACAAAGAUAUUUUUAUUUGUGAAUUUUAAAAUAUUAACCAAUUUUUUUUUGCAUCAUAAUUAGCUAAGCGGAUAGAAAAAUCAUAAGCUUCCAUUUGAUUGGGGUAUAAGGAGGAAUUACUAUUCUAUUCCUUAAUUACGGAUUAUCAUUCCUUAAUAACAUAUUAUUCCGAGAUAACAUAUUAACGGGUGGGAUUAGCAAUCCCUCCUCUUCCCCUGGAAUAGAGGUGGGAAUAGCUAUUCAUAUCCUUAUUUAAUUUUUAAAUUUAAAUUAUAAAUUAAAAAUUUAAAAUUUGUAAUUUUAAAAUUUAUAAUUUAUAAUUUGUAAUUCUAAAUUAUAAAUUUUAANAUAUAUAUAUAUAUAUAUAUAACUUAUCUGAACUAUGCAUCAUUUUGAAUUAGCUACCAGACGUUUCGAACUUUUGAUUCUAGUAUCCAAUCUUUCGAUUUAUUUUAUUUGUGCCAAUCAACGGCACUUGAACUUCAAAUUUUGAAUACGUCGUUUAUCUUUACGGAUUUAAUUAGUUCUUGCAAGUAUAAACUCAUUAAAGUAAGUAAUUAGCUUAAAUUUUGAAGUCAAUAUAUUACUGACCGAUUCAAAUCAAACAAAAUAAAAAUUUAGAUAGUAAACUUAAAAUUUUGGAAGUUUGGAUUAUUGAUUCAAAGUAAUCCAUACUUUAUAUAAGUUUUGUAUAUAUAUAUUUUAAAAAAAUACUAAAACUACCCAAAAGAAAAUUUUAAAUCCUUAGACAUAUAUAAAAUUUACACUUUAUAUAUUAAGAUGUAGAGCUAGACUCCUAUACUUUCGAAAGUACGGAUGCCUCUAUGCUUGCAAAUUAUUUUCAAUGAUGGAACAUUCGAUUCGGCGAUCGAUUCCGUUAGACAUGAUCUACGCUAUUAGAACUAUCUAAAAACUAAAUUUCAUAAUUUUUUGACUUCAUUUGUCUAAUAAAAGAGUAGCUUAAAAAUGAACGGCUGAAAAUAAAAUACUCAUAAAAAAUAGUAAUAAAAGACUCAAAUUUCAAAUCAUGAUCUUGCUAUUGAUGUUAAGUAGAAUUUUCUAUUAAAAUUUCAUAUAAUUUGGAUCGUUUUACACCAUUGAACUUAAAAACGUGUCACAUCGAUUGCUAAAAUAGUUAUUUUUGAGACCUUUUAAUCACGUAACAAAUAAUGUCGAAAAAUUAUGAAAUUUGGUUUCUAAAUAGUUUCAAUAGAGUAGAUCAUGCCUAAUAGAACUGAUCGUCGAAUCGGAUAUCUUAUCAUCGAAAAUAACUUACAAACACAAAAUUCUCCGUAUUUUCAAAAGUACAGGAAACGUACUCUUAUAAUAUUAAAAACACCAUAACAAGUCCUUGUCUUAAACCUUUCAAAAUGCCUCGCGCCUCCAAUUGUAUAAUAUUAAAAAAACACAGUUCUCUGGUAACUAAUAAACUCCCCAAUGUAUAUUUCCUUAAUUCCAAUAUACAUGGCACAAAAAAUAAAAAAUAAAAAAAAUAAAAAAAGAGCUAGCGUGCAUAGAAAACUUGUUAUGAUUGUCUCUCUUGAAUAAUCUCAAAAUCCCAAUUUCGAGCAUUUACACAAAAUGGAGAUCUUCUCAUUUGAUCACAUUCACCACAUUGCACCCAAAAUGUCAUACAUAACCAAUAAUCACACUAUAAUGCACUUUCAUUUGUGUACAUAAAAACUUCGGCAAAUAACAAUUCACACGAUUUUCGCCGUAAUCUUCAUAAAAGGAAAACAACAAAACCCCAAAGCCCAGAUACAUUAAAUAUUUGCAUAUCAUCGCGCAAACCGUUAGGUUUUAAUACAACUUCACCUGCGAUUACAUUACUUGUAGUUUAUAUAAUCGACUUUCGUCUUUAGUACAUCGAGAAGGCCAUUAAGAACCCUAAGAAGGAGAUGACGACGACAGGGAAGCUGUCGAUUCUCCGACCUUUACGAGCAGCAUUGGCAUUAACGGCCUUCUGCGACUGAGAGAGCUCGGGAGGGCACGAGAGCCCUUCUUUUCCUUCUCUACACUCGCUCGCGAAAAGGCCCGGAGGGUACUUCCCAUAUAAGUUUAUGUAGCUGAACAUCGUCGAGGCGCAGUCGUUCGUGCCGUCGUUUAACUCAUCGGAGUAUGGGCACGCGAAUUCCUUGAAGGCGGAACAACACAACGAGGCCGGGUACUGUGGGCCCUUGCAUUUGCUUGUUAUAAUGGUGUAGUUGAGGAACUCGAAAUUCACCGGGCAACCUGAUUACCGGGAAGAAUAUAUGAAACUUUCUAAGUAUAUAUUUUAUGACCAUUACUGCUUCAAAAGUUAGUUUCGGGUGGUAAAAACGUACAAAACUUACUUGGACUAUGGAGCAUUUUGAGUUGGCUACCAAACCUUUCAAAAUUUUGAUUUUACUACCCAACCUUUCUUUUGUUUGAUUUUAGUCGGUCAAUGACACUUCGACUUCAAAAUUUGAAUGCGGUGUUCUUCUUUACAAAUUUAGUUAGUAUCCUUUAUGCAAUUCUCGCAACCAUAAAUUCAUUAAAGUAGUCAACUUAAAUUGUUAAGUCAAAGUACCGCUAGCUGACACAAAUCAAAAUUUUGAAACGUUUGGCAGCUAAUUCAAAAUGGUCUAAAGCUCAAGUUUAUAUAUUUUUAUCUUUUUAGGUUUUGCAAAUUUGAUCCUCUUUUGUCCAUUUUUGCAACUUCGAACUAGUUUGUGGAGUAAAAAUGGUCACUGGAAAAGAUUGUCAUAAGCAUAUAUGCAUCAGAAGGAUUCCCAGGGGUGUUGCUUCAGUCCAUACAGAGAUUUUGGUCCAAAAAUGAAAAAAGAAAAAAGAAAGAGAGGAUCAAAGUUGCAAAAAAGAAAUCGCCUUCCAUGGAUCUACUACUUGAAGUGACUAGAUUUCUAUUGAGUAGUUAGCUUGAUGAAGUAGAGAUCAACAUAAUACCUAAUUACAUGGCUCAACAAUUUAAAUGAAUUCACAUAUACGAUCGGCUUUACUUUAACCCUAAUAAAUAAAGUGUAAUUACACCCUACUACACUGUAGUUUAAUGUUAUUUUUCUUUCCUACACUGUAAUUUUUUGUUUUGUUCAAAGACACCAUUGGACUAUCAUUAUCUUGUCAAUCUUUAUACCGUCCUUCAGGUAUAUUUUCAUUUGCUGCCCUACACUUCCUCCCCCCCCCCCUCAGAAACAUCAUUAACCUUUCGUUUUCUCGCCAAUUUCUAUACUACCAUCAGCAAACAUACUAUUUUAGACAAAAACUAAUAACUUUAUUACCAGGCACUGGUUAAAUAGUACGAAGAAAGCAAAAUGAGUCACCAAGAUAGAAUCAUCGAAAGCUUCUAUCGAGUUAUUUUCAACUAUUUUACCCGCAAUAUUUAGAAUUUUUCUUUUUUGUUCCUUGUCGACACGGGCCAAAUAAUUCAUGGCAUUCUUUGCCAACUAAAUAUUUCAUCGCAUUCUUUGCUAAUUAAAUUAUAGCAACAGCAAUAAGCUUGGCUUAGUGGAUGUAUGGAGUAGCUUCUAAAAAGUGAUUUUAAGUCCAAAAGUGAUUUUCGGCUUAAUAGAGCAUUUGACACAUCUACUUCUGAUUUUUAGAAUCAGUUUUCUGAUUUUCGAGAUCCAAAAUCAGAAGUAGCUAAAACCUGCUUCUCGAAAUCUGAUUCUGAUUUUGAACUCAAACGUCAAAUUUUUAUUUUUAUUUUAGAUUCAAAUUUUAAAUUUAAAUUCAAAUUUUAAUUUUUAAAUUUUAAAUUUAUAUUUUAAAUUUUAAAUUUCAAAUUUUAAACUUAUAAACUUCAAAUUUUAAAUUUUAAAAUUUAGAUAUUAAAUUCUCAAUUUUCAAUUUUUAUAUUUAUAUUUUGAAUUAAAAGAUCAAAAUUUAAAUUUCUGUGCAAAUUUAAAAUUUAAUAUUUAAAAUUUUAAUUCAAAUUUUAAUUUUUAAUUUAAAUUCAAAUUUGAAAUUUUUAAAAGUAAAAUUUAGUAAAAAAAAUUAUUAUAUGCCAACAUCAAAAAAAAAAAAUUGCUAAACAAUUUUACAAAAUCACUUUAGAAAAAUCAGUUUAUAUCCAAACUCGGUCAAACACUCUACAACUCUUAACCUAAAUCAAUUCUCCAACCCAAAAUCAAUUCUGCAGAAAUUACUUUUCCAGAAUCUAGACUAAACAGACCCUUAGGGCUCCUCUAUGCCUACAGCUAGGUUCAAAUGAUCUGCUAUUUUAAUUACAGAAUAAUAUCUAAUAAGUUCUUCAAAACUUCAAAAAUAUUUUAUUACCCCUGGAUGACCAAAAUACCCAUGUUGAUUUCAAAAAAUUUCUUCAAAUAUCCCCUUUUCCUCCAGGGUUUACUAAUGGGCUUGGGUUUUAAAAAGGUUUUUUGGGUAUUGAGGGGUAAAUUUGAAAUAAUAAUAGGGAAAACUUCAAAAACCCCCCCCCGUGGUUUCGUGGUUUCUCACUUUGCCCCCCUGUGGUUUAAAGUGUAUCAAAUUGCCCCCCUAUGGUUUCGUUUUUAUCUUUUCGGUAGCUUUUUCAUUAAUAUUUCAUUAAAUUAUAUACAAAAAACUUCAAAUACCCAUCUAAAUUUAUCAAAUAUUCACUUUUGUACCCUUUAAUUUUAACUUUAUUACUAAUUUAAGAAAUAAAAAAUAAUGAAAUUGAUAAGAAAAAGAGAAAAAAGAAACCACAGGGGGGCAAAUUGAUACAUUUUAAACCACAGGGUGGCAAAAUGAGAAACUACGAAACCACAGGGGGGUUUUUUGAAGUUUUCCCAUAAUAAUAGUAAGGGGCAAAUAAGCAAAAAGCCCCUUUAAUUAAAUUGUUAGUUGGACGUGGUUUCCAAAUAUGGGAACUAAAUUUUGCAUGUUAGAAAAUAACUUAAUUUAGCUUUACAACUUUCAUACUAUAAUAAAGUCCAGUUAUGUUUUCUCAUCUAUCACUAUCCACCCAAAAAGGAUUUGUAUGAAAAUAUGAUACAACUGUCAAAAGGGAAAGAGAAAAAGAAAUACAACUUAUAGAUUUGACAUGAUCCUGACCAUACAAACCUAAUCGAAGUAAUCUGACUAAAACCAGACCAUAUUAAUUCAGAAUAAAUCUGUAUCAGAUUAGAGCAGAUACAAAUUUAAGAAGCAAUAUCUACCAAAAUUCGACUACACUGAUCGCUUGCUGAGAAAAAUCAACAUUGUCCCGUGACAUCAAUUAUUUUCUUAGAUGCACUUGGCAUGCAGAGAUGCUUUGGAUGGUUUCUCGACUAUUUGUGCAAAUGAUUUGAACAUGUCUUUUAUCUCCAACAAUUUGUUUGUACUAAAUUCAAGAUUUUCUGGACCAAUCUUUGAAGUGGUUAAUUGCUUGUCACAAGGUUGUUCAUAUUACUAAAAUAUAUAGUCGUGAUGAAUGAAAACGUGAAAAGUCGCAUUUUCAGAAAAUAAAACUGAUGCAGAAACAGCUAAUCAGCUGCGGAAGUAUUCUGAAAUGUCAAGGUGGUGCUUGGUUGAGAAAUUUGAGAUUGGAAAUGAGAAAUCCUGUGCUACCAGGAGAACACAUUAAUAUUCCUACUCUAGGGCGGAAUAACCAAAUCGAACGAACAAUGUUAGGAAGAAGAGUAGAAAUGGCCAAUACCAUUUCUUUUUCUUUUUAUGCCAUCACCACUACUACACCCAAUACACUUACUCCACUGCCAAUGGUUGUCAUCACCACUACCAACUCCGUCGUCCCCAACAACACCCUUAUCGGUUUCCAAUGCCAUAAACCGCUAUCAUGAUCGCUCCUCGCACAAUUAUUAUUGGAAUUGAGUGGUGUUGGUUUUGAAUCGGGUUUCAGGUCGCCCAUGAUGGACAAAUAGGACUUCUAAUCCCAAAUCUAAUCAACUACCAUUAAAAGAAGGCAAAAAUAUGCGACAAUUCAUUCAACUCUAGGCCAUUUUGAAAUAGACACCUCAAUUUUGUUAAGAUUUUCAUAACUUUUGAAUAAAAUAUUUGUAGACACCAUUCUCUGGUAGCUUAAACUUUUGAGGAUAAACAACUAUUUCAUAUAAUUUUACACGGCAACAGAGCAGAAAGUCCUAAAUUUGAGUCCCCUAACUUCACUAAAUUUCCUCCAUUUAAUUAUUCUCCAUCUUGGGCGGUUGGGCCUAUAAAAAAGUCUUGAGCCCAGAUGUUUCAUGUAAUUUAACAAUAACCCUCAACCUCUAAAUUCAUAUAAUUUAAGUUAUCUACAUAGAUUAAAUUGGAUUUUUCGUCAAAUUAACAGGGAUUCCAUUAAAUUUAACUGUUUUGAACACUUUUCGAAUUACGGAUUCAAUUAACUGUGAAUUACUGUGAUAGCUAAUUCCUACAAAUCCCCAAUUCAACUAAAAACAACUAAAAGAAAACGAAUCGAAAUUACAGAAUGAAAAAAAUUCAUUUAAAAAACCCAAAUUAGACAUUCAACACAUUUGCUUAACACCGUCUAAAUCGAUUCAGGUAUUAAAUUAGGAGCUAAUUUCCUAAAAUUAGCACAAAAUUUGGCCAUAAAAAAAGGGAUUUUGUGAGAUGAGCUCACUCUUUUUGGCUUGUAGGAGGCUCCGACCAGUGGAUCCGUGAGAUUGGAACACAUCACCUGAUACAUACAUCAUAACACAAAAAAUUAUCCAAAAUAAAGAAAAACUCACAUAAACCGUCAAAAAAAAAACCCUAAAAAAUUGGGGAAAACAGGGGGGCGACAAAAAUGGGGAAAUUGAAAUUGGUACCGGAGAUGGAAGUGGCGGAGGCGAAUCCGAUGAAGAAGAAGAGAAGGAAAAAGAGAAGCGCCUGCGUUGAGGCGCCAUUGCUCGAACCCAUUUCUCUCUCUCGAUCGAAUUCAAAGGAAAUCGAAGAGGAGAGAGAGAGGUAAAAAUCGUACCUUAAGGGUUCAUAGAGAGAGAGAGAGAGAGAGAUAGAGAGAGAUAGAGAGGAGAGAGAGUGGUGGGACGGAGAACGCGGUUAGGGAAAUACGCGGCGAACCGUACAUAAUAACGGAAGGGCCAAAAAUAUGAAAAUUAAAAUUAGGCUAAAUUACAGAAAACCCCCUAUAAAUACUAGAUUUUUUACUUUCAUUCCUGACUUUCAAAAACUUAUAUUUUGGCACCUUAAAAUUCUAGAAAUAUUUUCAGGGGAAUACAGUGUUAAUGAAUAGAACAAAAUAACCAAAUUACCCUUAUUUUUUUUAUAAAAAAUAAUUUUUAAUAUAUUUUUGUAAUUCUGAAUGACAGUUUUAGAAUAAAUUAUAAGAAAUUGAUAGAAUAGUGACGGAAUAGUGAUGGAACCCUGACGGAAGAGUGCUAAAUAUUGAGGGGUAAAAUAUAUGCUUUUAAAAGUUACGAAGAAAAAGUAAAAAAGUGAGUAUUUACAUAAGGUUUUCUGUAAUAUAGUUUAGAAAUUUAAAAAAAGGUAAAUUUCAAUUUGCCCCUAUGGUUUUAGCAAAUUUUUACUUUAGUAUUUAUAGUCUAAAUAGUUGUACUUAACUACUCUAUAAUUUAUCUAUUUUUAUUCUAUUAUUCUAUGGUUUAAAACUCAAUUAUACCCUUUACUUAUUAACGGUGUAAAUUCCAAUAUUAGUUUACAUCUUUUCUUAAAAAUACUUUACUAUUAUAGGGGAAAAAAAAUGUAUGGAGAACCCCUCAACUAUAUGUCUAUUUUGAAAUACCAUCCUCAACUUCUAUUUUUUGAGAUCCCUCAAUUUUUAAUUUUUGUUAUUAGAGUUGUUUUCACCUAAUUAGCUAAAAAUUUAUUAUGUUUAUUGAUUUUGAUUAAUUAACCAUUAUUGACCUAAUUCUAUCUCCUAAAAAGUGAUAAAUUCACCCAAUAUAUUCGAUGAAAUUUUUACAUUUUUUUGACCAAAGUUGCUCAAUUUUAAAAAUUAGAAGAAAAAAAAAAGAGAGAGAAAAAAAAAAAAAGAAGAGUUAAAGGUGCUAAUUAAGAACCGCAUCUAGUUGAGGGGGUCUCCAUACAUUUUUACCAUUAUUAUAAUAUGAGUUUAGGGUUUAGAGUCUCCAUACAUUUUCACUAUUAUAAUAUUGUUUUUUUCAAAUUUUUCUUAUUAAAAAGUAGGCAAACUUCAAAUACCAACCUUGUGAUUUCACACUUUCUCAUUUUAGUACUCUAUAGUUUAAAGUAUAUCAAGUUAGUGCCCUGUGAUUUUAUUUUUAUCUUUUCGUCAGCUUUUUCAUUAAUAUUUCGUUAAAUUAUAUACAAAAAAAUUUCAGAUACCCACAUAGAUUUAUCGAAUAUUCACUUUAGUACUCUUUAAUUUUAACUUUGUCACUGAUUUAACAAAAAAAAUUAAUGAAAUCGAUAAUAAAAAGAUAAAAAUAAAACCACAGGACACUAAAUUAAUACACUUUAAACCACAUGGUACUAAAGUGAGAAAGUAUAUAACCACAGGGAUGAUAUUUGAAGUUUUUUCAAAAAAAAAUAUAAUUCAUAAACAUAGAUAGCUAAGUCACUCUCUCUUAUUUUUUUAAUUUCUUUUUAUUUGUUACUUAUGUCAAUCAACAUCAACAUUAAAUAUUAUGUGUUGCUUUACUUUGUUAUUGAUGUUUGCAUCCAUGAUAUUGACUUGUUGUAAUUAUUUCUUUUCUUUUUUUUGUAUUUUGUAUGAUAGGAUGAGGUUUUGAUGUAUCUCUAUGUGGAUUGUAAGUAGGGGUGUAAUGUGGGACGUACUGGACCGGCACGACUCACAUUUUUCAGGCUAAAAUAGGUCAAGUGCUAGCUCGGCACGGCUAGGCGAUCUGAAACCGGGCCGUGCCAGGCUAGAUUUCUCACAACUCCGGCCCUGCAAGGCCCCCGGCUCGAACGGUACGGGCCAUGCCGAGCCGGAUCGGGCUCCGGGUCGCCCAUUAUUUUUUUUAUUUUUUUAAAAUACAAUAAAUUUUAAAAUAUAAAAUAGUUUUAUAUAUAUAAUUAAACUAUAAAAUUUAGUAGAAAAUAAUAAAAUUUUUUAAAAUUUUAUUAAAAUUUAUAAUAUUUUAAAAUAUAAAAAAUUUUGGACCAAGUUGCCCUUCCCAACAGUCAAAAAUUUGACUGUUGAAAAUUUGACGGUUGGGGAGGACAAUUUGGUCCAAAAGAGGAUAAGGUUGCUCCUCACCCAAGGUCCAAAACCUUGUAAGAGGCCCAAGGUUGUGGCAGGCCUUGAGAAGCCCAAGGUCUGCCACAAGACACACCUUGGGAGAAGGGGAAGCCCUUCUCCCAAAUAGGCCAGACCCAAGGCCUUCGGGGUCGGGCUAAGCCAGCCCAACAGGCACGGCCCACAUGGGCCAUGCCGUGUCAGGCCACGGGUCAAACUGUCGGCCCGGCACGGCCUAGACUCGUUACAGGCAGUGCCGUGCCGGGCCGACGGGCCUAAAAGUUCUGGUCCAGCACGGUCCAGUAUAGGAGGGCGGGUCGGCUCUGUAAGGUAUCUACAGUAUCCGUGCCGGGCCAUGGCCCGGCCCGCUCUCGUGCUGAGCCGGGUGGUCCACAAGCCGCUCGGCCUGUUUGACACCCCUAAUCGUAAGUGCUAAUCAACUAUUCCAAAAAUACAUACUGAUAGGAAGGCACACUUAUCGCACUUAAGGGCUCAACCACAGCAUUCAUAGGUUUCGAUCUGACUCAAUCCAGCUGGACGUUAGGUCUAUUGUUGGGCCUCUUGUCGUCAGAUCUUUUAUAGACCGCGGCCCCAUUCAAGUUAUUAGGCUCAUCCAACUCAAUUAUAGUCUUCUGGGCCUAUUUUAACCCAAUAAUAAAUAGCCAACAUACUCUCUCUCUUGCUGUCUAAACUUUUGCCUCAUAAUUAGGAAAAAAAAAAGGAGUCAAAAAUACAACGAUCAUGUAUGUGACAUAGCAUUUUCAAUCAAUCAUAUUUCUCUUAUGGAAUUCACUCAUUUCAACAUGAUUUUAGAUUUUUUUUUUUUUUACCUUUCUCUCAAAAUAAGAGAAGUGAUUUGUUUAAUAUAGAUGAUGUGGUGUAACUGUUACGUAGUAAACUUUCUUUAUAUUUCAGGCUGGAACUGGGCUUCGUUUGGGUAGGGGCCAUGGCCAAAAAAAUUUCGGGUCGGGCUUUUAUCCAAUUAUUUAAGAAAAUUAAGACUUGGCCCAGGCCCAAAGCCCAAUACUCAUUCGGCUUCAUUUGGUCGAUUUUAUGCAUUUGUCAAAUAGCACAUACUAGUUAAGGGUCCCAUGCGAUGCGGCGUGUAGUAUCCCUGGAGUUCAGCAUUUGAGGCUUGUCGACACAUCUGGAGAGUGUUGGGACAAGUCCGAGUCAUGUUGGCGCGAAAUAGAUGUCAACUGGACUCAGCAGGACGCGAGAGCAAGAAGUUAGCAUUGAAAUCUACAAAUUGCAGAAUUUCAGCAUUUAAUACCGGUACCACCUAGGGGCGUACCGGUACCAUGUAUAUUUUUCUGCGCAGACUGCUCUCACGUUGUAUAUUCUGCUGCGUGGUACCGGUACAACAUUGACUUAGUGCCGGUACUCCAGGGUAGGUGAGGGGCUGUUUGAUCUUUUGGCUGCCUCAUUGUCUUCACCCUUACAUACUCCCUUUAUAUACUUGUGGUGAGGCUAAGAAGGGGGAUUUUGCUACUGUACUCUCUCUCUCUAGCUCUUGGCCGUACGCAAUGAGGAGGACUCGGGUGGAGCCGGAGCGACGUCGACGUUGCGCCGCGGUGCCGUUCGAGCGUACGUUCGUCGCGGUAGCGCCGUUGGGAGGCCGAGCGAGCGUGUGGUUCUGCUUCUAUCGACUUCUUGCCGGAUUUGGAGUAGCUUUCGAGGUGGGUCAAAGUGAUGCGUACCGGAUUUCGCAGAUUUUUCUCCUAAUUUUAUAUUUUGACAGCAUGUGUUUUUAGCUUCGUUUAGUAUAUUGUUUAGCUCAAUUCUUGGAUUUGCAUGUUAUUGAUCUUGAAUUGGAGCUUAGAAUACUAGCUAAAUUAUACAUAUUAGACUUGGUUUUGACUUGGGAGAAAACUGACGUUUCUACAAUGUCAUAUAUUAAAACUAUCAGACUUAGCUCUAGGAGCCGUAGUUUGUUUGUAUCGCCGCAGUUUUGGGCGGUGGAUACCCAGAAUAGUGUAGAAUAUAUUUACGCUCGUGUUGAGAUGCCGAGUACAUUUUUACAGCAGUGUUUAGGUUGUUGCGAAUUGUCGAGUGCCGUUGAGGUUAAUGGUGGACCCAGAUUGCUGUUUUGGCAUCAGAUUGUGCCGAGGGCACGUGAAUUCAGUUGUUAGACCUUGUUUACUUGACUAUAGUCUGUGAGAGCCUGAUUGAGCUCGACAGAGACACGCUUGCAUACUCGGCUAGGUAGCGCCCACGAGUGCCACUCCGGAGUCGGGCUUUGUGCUUUUGCGUUGGUAUCGUUUUGUCCUGGUUGGACUUGCUCUCCAGUGAUGACCUGGUUUGGUGUCAGUUAGUGUAGCUUCGACAGGCGGGACGGUUGUGUUCACAGUCCCUAGUGAGAUAGGGUCAUGAUAUAUAUUUUCUACAGAUUGUUGUGUUAGAGCAUGAUGGUAUAGUGGCAUUUAGCUGUAGAUUUGUUCCAGCUUUCCUUACUAUCCAUGCUUACUUCUGUGACUUAGUGGGUGAGCCGUUGAGGUCGGUAACGGUACCCACUAAGGACUACUUUUUGCAGUAAUUCUCACACUCAGUUGUUGAAACCUUUUGCAGAGCCAUCUUCUUCGGCUGCUGCUGCUGUUAAGUCUGAUCGUGGAAAGGGCGUAGCGAAUUAGAGCCCUUCCUGACAAGUUGCAGAGCUAGAGGAGUACCUACAGGUAGUUGUAGUUUUUGGGUUGUUAUACAUAAUGAUGCUUGUAUCUCGCUGGAGCGAGUAUUUUGUUUACCUGGAUGUGAUGUAUGUAUAGUGAACUUCUGAUGUUAUAUAUGUUUUAUUUCGACAGCUCUAUACUACUGGUUGUGGUGUUGUAUGAUUACAAGUAUAGGUACAGCUAUCGCUUCGUAUACAGAAAAAAUUUCUUUGUAUACGGCGGAUAUGUCGGCGUGCCCGAAAAAACGAGUAAUCCGAGGCGUGACACGGCGAGAAGAUAAUACAACAGUAAAUUAUUAUAACUAUUAAUAUUAUUUUUUUAUUAUGCAUUAAUAUUUUUAAAUAUUAUUUAUCUCAGUAUUGAAUAAUUAAAACUUAAAAAAUAAGUUAAAGAAUGAAAUUAAAGUAUAUUUAUUUUUAAAAAUAUUUAAAUCUAAUAAGUAAAAUGAAUAAAUCAGUUUAAAAUAAAACAAAAGCUCAAUACAGUAUUUAGAAAGAUAAAUAGUAUUUUUUAUUAUCAUAAAGGCCGAAUUUAUAAAUAAAAAAAUAUUAAAAAAUUAAUUAGAGUGAAAGUGUUUUCUUUAAUAUUCUUGGCGGCAACAUUUUCAUUAUGCCCCCAUUAACUUUUAUCGUCACAUAUAACUAUUAGGUUCCAAUUCAUAGUUUGAUAUAAAUAAAUGUAUUUUUAUUGUAUCAAAUUGAAAUAAAAUAUCUAUUUUUAUAAAUUAAAGACCGGAGGUUAAUGACAUCAAAAAUCAAUUUACCUCUGAGGCAUCAUCAUUAUCUAUAUAAUAUAUAAAUAAGUAUGUACAGAAAACACCAUUAAUGACUAUAUAAAUAAUAAAACAUAUCGUUAAUAGUGUUGUAUAGGUCGCGAGGGGAUCAAACAGCUAAAAAAUUACAAGCAGUUGAGCUCCUAUGCGUUUAAAAGCACAGGAUGCUAACCAUAUAUAUAUAGUUGAGUCUCAUAUAUAUAUAUAGGAUAUAUAUAUAGUUCGGCUACUAUACUCUUAUGAGUAUACAGCCUUUGUACGGAUAAGUUUUUAGCCGUUAGAUCUACCUUUUAAUCAUUUCAACCAUUAGAUAAUAUAUAUUCAUACCAUCCACUCAACCCUAAGGGAGUCCACUAUCAACAAUAACCGUAAGCCAGCUUCAUCAUAACGCAUAUUUUUUCACGAAUGGCUGAAAACUUAUGGGACUACAAAGAAGGGGGCCCCUGAUAUCAUAUAAUUAUAGUACCCAGGUAUAUAAUAUAUAUAAAUAUAUAUAUUAUAUAUAUAUAUAUAUAUAUAGUAUAUAGCUAUUAUAUUAUAUAUUAGUGUCAUAUAUAUAUAAUUUAGGCUACUCAUACUAUCUAUAGAAGUAUCGGAGUCGUACUAUGUCUGUUUUUGAUUUUCUGGUGUUCAAAUUAACGAUCCACACCCUUAAAUAUGAUUAUUAGGUAUAUGAAGUUUUUAGAAAUAAAUAUUUAGUUUUUUCUGACAUCGUUUCUUAGAAUAAAUUAAUUCAAAAUGGAUGGUGAAAUGAAUAAUCUUAUAAAAUUGAGUAUUAGAUCUUUUAAAUUCAAGAUCAAGAAUGUUUAACUUGGAAUCUGAGAUAGGUUUAAAGUAUUGUCUAUAAAAUUUGAAGAAAAUUUAGACUUUUACCCGUUUAAAUCACAACUCGCUUAGUCAGCCAUUGAAAUUACAAUUUUGAAAUGGUUUGAUUAUGAAAUAAACUAUGAUCGAAAAAUUAUAAAUUUUAUUUCUAAAAACUUGUAAAUACUCCUAAAUCAUUUAACAGUGUGGAUUCGUUGAUUUGAAUACCCUAAGAUCGAAAACGACACUAUAGUUACCGAGCGUCCCGUACUAUGGAUAGUAUAAAAAACGUUAGCAUCGUAUAUAUAUAUAUAUUAUAUAAUAUAUAUAGAGAGAGAGAGAGAGAGAGAGAGAGAGCUAGGCUGGUAUACUAUCGAUAGCACGGAGGUUUCCGUACUACCAAGUUGUUUUAAAUGAUAUAGCUUCCAAAUCGACAAUCGGCUCCGUUAGACUUGAUCUAUACUAUUGAAAGUAUUUGAAAACUAAAUUUCAUAAUUUUUUGACAUCAUUUACCUAUCAAAUGAGUAGUCUAAAAUUGAAAGGCUAAAAAUAAAAAUCUCAUAACAAAUGAUAAUAAAAUACUUGAAUUUAACACCAGAGGUAAUGAUCAUACUCUAAAUAAUGAAAAAAAAAUUUUAUCAAAAUUUUAUCAGAUUUGGAUUAUUUUACAUCAUUAAAUUAACAAACGCAUCACAUCGACCAUUAAAAUUGUCAAUUUUGAGACCUUUUGAUCACUAGCCAAAUGAUGUUGAAAAAUUAUAAAAUUUAGUUUCCAAAUACUUUUAAUAGUAUAGAUCAAGUCCAACGGAACCGAUCGUCGAUUUGGAAGCCGCAUCAUUAAAAACAACUUGAUAGCACGAAGGCCUCCGUGCUACCAAUAGUAUAUCAGCCUAGCGCUCUCUCUCUCUCUCUCUCUCUAUAUAUAUAUAUAAUAAAAAAUAUUUGGUUAGUUUUUAAUGGUAACUAACAUAUUGGGCUUUGGGGCCGGGUUUGGGAUGGACUUGGACAUAUCUGAAUAGGCCUGAAACUUUUCUACAUAAAUUCUUAAACCCAGCAUAGGCUCAAAGUUACAAGUUGGAAACCCCAAGCUCGGUCUCUAUACAUGGCCCAUCGGAACGGACCUUGUUUAGACUUUGGGCCCAGUUCGAGCCCCUAUUCAUAAUGUUGGCUUAAAUGGGCCAACAUCCUGCCCUGUGGCAGGAGGCCAUGUGGGAUGAGUCAUAUUCGAAAUGGCGUGAGGCUAGGUUGGGCCGAGUCAUGUUCGAAGGCCGAGUCACAAUCGAGACCCGUGGGCGCUGUUUCUGUACGCUUUAAGUGAAUUGAUUGCGUAUUUCUAACAGCUUGAGCUUUUUGGAUUAAUGGUUAGCGCCAACGAUCCGACACAUAAUAGAUAAGAUGUUAUGCGUGCGGCUUACCCUAAGAUCGGAGGUUUGAACUAGAAAUGUCAACGGAUCAGAUUGAAGACGAAUUUAUUUUAAUAGACCCAUUACAUGAACUUAAAUUAAAUAGGAAGCUCUAAUACUAUAUUAAAUUAAAUUAAAUAAUUAUUUUUCUUUAAAAAUUUAAGCUGAUAGAAAAUAAUGUUUUUAUAUUUUUAUAUUUAACGAGAUGUAGUUCAGCAGGAAAUGGUCUCUCACUUGAAAUUAUUAUUUUUGAUCAGUCGGAUUGAAAGCUAAAGAAAAUUUAAUUAGAAGAGAAUUUUUAGUAUCAGAUAUUUGACAAAAUAUAUAAGUUGAUUUAAAUUUUAGAGGAAUAUAAGUCUCUGCACCAGAUGUUGAAAUUCUAUUCAAAACUUUUUGUGAAAGUAUUAGAAACAAUUCUAAUACCAUCAAGAAUUUAAGCCCUCGGUCACAGCAAAAAUAAAGUACGCUAGACGUGCCGCGACGAGAGUGAGGAGAGAAAGAAAUAUAAUUUUUACAAGGACAAAUUUGCAAGAAUAAAAUAAUCAUUUUACGCACCCAUCAUUUAAAAACUAAUGGUGAAUCAAACGGCAGGAACAUAUAUGAACGAACCAGAACUUUUGAAGGAAUAUAUUUACAAAUCACAAAAUUUUCAAGGGGAUAAAUCUGAUCAUUUAAGUUUUGUAGGAAUUUAUCUAUUAUUUGAUAUUUUUAUAAGAGCCUGUAUAUAUGAAAUUAACUCUAAAAAAAAUGCCAAUGCUUCUUCAAAUUCUUCUUCAAUAAAAUAGCAUAAGCGCUUCUCACAGAAGCUGCAACGAGGUCCGAAAAAGAAGUUACUGCUAUGUGUUCAUAAGAACAACAUAAUUUGUAGGUACUUCAGCUUAAGACCAAAUCUAAAUCACCAUCACAAUAUCACAGAGUAUAAAUAGUCGCUGCAAAAAUUAACCAAUAAUUAUUAUAUUUCGUAGAGGAUUACAAAACUAACCUCCUUCGCUUUUCCAUCAAAUUGAUUUUAAAAAUUAGAAUCAAAUUUUGAAAACGAGACUACCUAACGCUCUAUUGAGCCGAAAAUUAUUUUGGAGUCCAAAAUCACUUUUCAAAAUGCAGACCAAACACCCAAUUUGUGAACUAAGAUAUGAAGAUCCAGUCCCAGUCCAAUUUUGGAAACCAAUUUGAGAUGGGAGUUUUAGACGACUAGGCUUAUAGAAUUUUUUAAUUUUAAGAGUAAGCAUUUAAUAUUUUUAUUUGUAAAAGUAGGUCUAAGCAGUUUAUUUCUUUCGGACCAUAUCAUACACGGAGAAUAAAGUAAUGACGAUGCUUUUCCACAAAAAAAAAAAAAAAAACCUAAAACUGUGGUGCAUCAUGCACCAGGUGCAUGAAAUAAUUUCUAGCUCGACGGUUCUGUAGCGAGAAAAGCUUCGCGCUCGCCCUACUAAAAAGCCUCGUCUCUUCCUCACAAACACCCCAAACCAGAGCUAGCGACGUUAAUGGCGACCGAAUCCCCGAUCCAAACCCUAAUUCUAACCCUAACCCUAACCCUAGGAAGCGUCGGUGGAGGAGGAUCACAAGCAGGAGGAGAUGGAUCGAGGAAGAAGACGAAGAAGAAGAGGAGGAGGAGGAGGAGAAGGAUUGAUGGAGCAAUGGCGCAGAACGAUCCGAGCCGCGGAGUGAAAUCCUAAUCCUAAUCCCGGAGGAGAGACGGACGCGGAUUCGCGGAUUUGAAAUUGGGAGCAGUUUAAUUCUCGAUUCCUAGUACAAUUAGGAUUGCAAUUCAAAUAGAAUUUUCUUUUAUUGAUUUCUACUAGUCAGAGUAGAAUUGGAAUUAUAUGGAAAUAUACAUAUAUGUUAUAAAACCCCUCUUUCUCUCUUCGUUUCCACACUCCCAAACUCUGGUUUACACUAACGCGGUCUCACACACACAAUCACACACGAUCACACGCUUCUUGAUCCCCAUAUGGCCUUGCUUGUUGCGGAGAAGUCACCUCAGCGGCCGCAAGGUGAUGAUGGUGGUAGCAGUGAGAAUGAAAUCACUAGAGACAAUAGGACUGCUGGUGGCGGCGAUGGUGGCGGCGGCAAUGGGGAAGUUAUCACGAAAGACGGGUUCAACGAACCAGCGAACAUCAGCGUCCUCGCUGCAGGGGCAGAGGCAGGGGCAGGGGUGGGCGCGAACAUCGCUGCGCGCAAUGGAACAGUGUCUGACGUGAAAAGGGGAACGAGCUCGAAAAAGAAGGGGAGCAGUAGCAGCUCUGCCGCAGGCGGCAGCGGGGCCCACACAUGCGAGAAGUGCGGGAGGACGUUCGCGACGGGGCAGUCGCUGGGCGGCCACAUGAGGAAGCACUACGAGGGCCCGCUGAUUAUUACAAACAAGAAAAGAGCUCGCGAGCAGCGAGAGGAGACGCCCGCCCCGGCAGCUGAGCGCAAAGUAGUGAGGAUGGUGAGUUACUUCAAUGGGCCUUUUUUGGAAUCGCAUAAUCCUGCGCUUCUGUCGCAAUCCGAGCAAGCGAGCGACGCUGGUGAUUAUGGGAGAGGCAUCGGAGCCUGCCGUCUGCACAACUUCUUCCCUAAUGAGCUGCCAGAGCCAGAGGAGGAGCCUAAGAACGCGCCGGAGAGGAAAGAUGAUGACGAAUUGCUCUCCUUGCGACUUGGUCGGACAUGGAGUGGUGUUUAAUUUUUUUUGUUUGUUUCUUUCGAUUAUUAUUUUUCUUUUUUUUUUUUUUUCUUGCUCUGAAAUUCUCAUUUCGGAUAGUGCAGCCCUUCAAUUCUUUGUAGUUCCUCAGAAGUUGAGAUAAAAAAAGAAUAUGUACUGUUGAGUCACUUAGCAUCUGUACUUGUUGCUUCACUUAAUUAUUGUUUCACUUAAUUAGCAUCUGCGCAAAUAAUUAACUUCAAAUCCUCAGUUUUAACUUCUGAUUCCGCUUAGUUGCUAUUUUACUCGCAGUAAACCACCUCAUGGAUAAGUUCUAACUAAACUAACUCUACACUUACAAUUACAUCAUGCAAAAUGUAACACCACAAAUUGGAACAAUGUUCUGUUUCGUGCAGAAUGAUGAUGCUAGUAUUUAAAUGGAUUUAUAUUGGUAGUUGCAUGCCGUAAUUGGUCAAUGAUUCUUGAUGCUUCACCAUGGUCUAAGCUGCUUAAUAAGCUAAUUAGUAAUUACUCUUUCUAGUCAAUGCCUCUCAAAACCUGGUGAUUUUGUUUAAUUGCUGCACGAAGGAAUCACUCCUCCUUCCUGUGUGUUUGGUUACACUAAUCUAAUUACAGAGAUAUUCUGCAUGUCAGUAUUUUAAUGACCAGCUCUUCUUCUUUUUUUUUUUCGAUUUUGCAUUCUCAAAUUUGGAGGUAGCAUGGCUGGCGAAAAAUUUCAAAAUUAACUGAUGGAUUGGUCAAAAUGUAUAAAACAAACUUGUCUGAAUCAUAGGCCACUGCUCAACAUUUCGAAGCUUUGAUUUUAGUACCCAAGCUCUCAAUUUGUUUAAUUUAAUAUAGAAUAUGCUACCUGCCUGCGUAAAUUCAAAUUUUGUUAGUAAAUAAUCAUUAACAAGCUCAAAUCAAAUAAAUUAAAUGUUACGUAACAAAAAAAAAAAAUCUAGAAAUUAGGCAGUCAGAUCAUCAGAUCAAAAUGGGUGAUUAUUGAGGAACCAAAAGAAGAACAGCUGUUUGAUAUUUGUACCUUAUAUAUAUAUAGAGAGAGAGAGAGAGAGAGAGAGAGAGAGAGAGAGUGAGGCUACUAUACUUUCGGAAGCACGGAGCCUUACGGGCUUCCAGGUCGUUUUUGAUGUUGCGAUUUUCGAAUCAUCGAUUAGCUUCGUUAAACUUGAUCUAAAAUAUUUAAAGUAUCUAGAAAAUAAAUUUUGCAAUUUUUCGAUAUCAUUUGCCUAGUGAACUAAGGUGCUCAAAAUCAACGGCUAAAAAUAAAAAUCUUACAAAACGUGAUAAUAUGACAUUAAAAUUUUAGAUCAAAGAUAUUGAUCUUGUUUUAUAUAGUAUAAAGAAUUUUCUAUCAAAAUUUCACUUGAUUUGCAUAUUUCUACACCGUUAAACUUGUAAAUGGUUCACCACGGCCUUUAAAAUUAUUGAUUUUGAGUCUCUUCGACCACUAGACAAAUGAUAUCGAAAAAUUGCAAAAUUUAUUUUCUAGGUACUUCAAAUACUCUAGAUCAAGUUUAAUGGAGCCGAUCGACGAUUCGAAAGUCGCAACAUCAAAAACAACCUAGAAGAACGGAAGGCUCCGUGCUUCCCAAAGUAUAGUAGCCUCACUCUAUAUAUAUAUAUGCUCAUAUAGAGCAGGGCUGCUGUGCUCUCAGGAGCAUAGAGACCUCCGUGCUCCUGAGCUGUUUUCGAUGAUGGAAUUUUCAAAUCGACGAUCGGCUCCGUUAGAUUUGAUUUAGGAUAUUUGAAGUUUCUAAAAAAUAAUUUUAGCGAUUUUUUGAUAUCAUUUACCAAGUGAUCGAAAGGAUUCAAAAUCAAUAAUUUUUAAUGGUUGAUAUCUGCCGUUUUCAAGUUUAACGGUGUAGAAGUAUUCAAAUCAGAUGAAAUUUUGAUACAAAAUUCUUUAUACUAUCUACAACAAGGUCAAUAUUUCUGAUCGAAAAUUUUUGUUCUAUAUCACCACUUUUUAUAGGAUUUUUAUUUUCAACCGUUAAAAAUUAUUGAUUUUGUAUUCUUUCGAUUGCUAGAUAAAUGAUAUCGAAAAAUCGCAAAAAAUAUUUUCUAGAAACUUCAAAUACGCUAGAUCAAGUCUAAUGGAGCCGAUCGUCAAUUCGAAAAUUCCAUCAUCGAAAACGGCUGCCUCCGUGCUCCUGAGAGCACAA